Molecule: long non-coding RNA, 48704 nt
Filed under: Setaria italica (foxtail millet)
Lineage: Eukaryota; Viridiplantae; Streptophyta; Magnoliopsida; Poales; Poaceae
Description: long non-coding RNA (SITA_LNC002477)
Source: RNAcentral
UUUUUUUAAAAAUCUUAAGUACUAAAGGGGGAAACCGUGACCAAGGGGGUAGAACUUCCCUUUGUCUCAAAAAUUUAGUCCCGGUUGUAUUUUCGGGAUUUAUGACCCUUUCCAACCGAAACUAAAGCCGCGUUUUCCACCAGUGCCCUGCCAUCUCCACGGACCAUCCAGAUGUCCACCAACCUCCCAUGGCCAGUAGCGUUCACGCCGCCUCGGCGGCUCGAACUGCCUCCACCACCCGCUACUUUGCCGCCCGAACCUCCUUCUAGAUCCACCGGGGAUAGGUACGCCCUUUCUUCAAAACCCCGAACCCUGAAAGCUUGUGGGAAGCUCCCCGGAGCUAGAGAAGAAACAGAGAGCUGAAAAAAACAGGUACGUAAUCUUUCCCCACCCGAGUCAUCUUUAGAAAUUUCGUUUUUUCUUUUGACGGAUAGAUCCGUGUUGGUUAAUUAAGUGCGCAUGCCGCACGUGGGCUCACAACACGACACAAGGCGCAUGCUCCUCCAUGUGAUGCGUCGUGUACGACUCGAACUAGAUCUCGUCUCCGAAAACAUCUCGGCAUGCUCGUGCAGACCGAGUAGAAAACACCCAAACCCUCUGCUAAAGAUUACGAUUAUUAGCCUUUGCGUACGGAACAUACAACCUCGAGGGAGAGAACCAGCUGAUCCAAUUCAAUCAAUCACGCCGACAAUGCAGGACAAGGCUGGGCAGUUCAUCUGCUGGCUAGACUUGGUCAGGCUCAACUCGCCGGCGGCAGGCUCCAACCGGGACCGCGGGCUGGUUCUCAAGGGCAUGCCCGGGCCCAAGGUCGUCGUGCAGUGCCUCGAUGGCACCGAGGUGACGGUGAAUGCUCGCAACGUCCGUGUCGCGGACCGGAGCUACUUCUGCCCGGGCAUGGUCGUCGCGUCGGCGUCAGACCGUGGCGGCCAGCUCGGGGUCGUCACGGGCGCCGCCGUGGAAUUGGAUCUGGUCCGGCUAGACGGUGAGGACGCGGCGGCGACGUUGGUCGCGAGGGGCGUGUCCCCAGCGGAGCUGCGCCGCGUCAGUGAGUUCUGCCUAGGCGACUACGUCGUGUCAGGACCGUGGCUGGGCCGGGUCUUCGAGGUGUCCCUCGACGUCGACGUGCUCUUCGACGACGGCACCGUCUGCAGGGUCACAACAGCGGACGGCAAGCUGUGGCCCGUCGGCGAGGGCUCUUCAAAACGCUACACCAACGUCUUCUAUCCGGGGCAGCGCGUCGGCGGCCGCUCGUCCGUCUUCAAGGCCGCCCGGUGGCUCAAGGGCUACUGGAAGCCCAGCGAUGGCGAGGGCACCGUGUCCAAGGUGGAAACCGCCAGCGUGCUCGUCUACUGGGUCGCGUCGUCGCAGCUGGGCGCCGAGAGGUCCGUCGUCCAGGCGUCGUCCACGCCGGCGCACCAGCAGAGCCCUCGCGAUCUGACAUUCUUCCGCGCUGGCGACGACGUCUUGGCAAGGUUCUGGGGCGUGGGCGACCGCUGCUUCUUCCGCGCUCCUUGCCGCCGCCGCGUACUCCCUGCCGGCGAUGUCGGUGCCAACCGGAAUCGGCUGCGGCGGCUGGGGGCGAAGCGGACGCCGCGACGAGAAAGCUGGAGCCACGCAGGGUUCGAGCGGCCGUUGUCCGUCGCCAGCACGCGCACGACGCUCGACGUGCUGUGGCAGGACGGGACGCGGCAGUGCCAGGCGCCGUCGGUGUCGCUCGUUCCCACGAUGCCACAGAACACCCACCACUUGUUCCCGGGCCAGCGCGUCGUUAGCAGGACAUCGUCGGACGGCGACGGCGACGUCGCGCGUUCUGGUGUCGUCAGAAGCCUCAACUUCACGGACCAGACCGUGCGCGUGUCGUGGCAAAAGGCGGCGGCUGAACACGCCGAUGACGAGACACUGAGCAGCACGUACGAUCUCGGCAGGGAUUUCGACAGCAAUGUCUUCUAUGGAGAUGUUGUCGUCGACGGCGUCCAACAGACUCCUCAAUUGGGGUCGCCGGCGACAUUUGUGGAAGCACGGAAGAGCCAGUGCUGACACGGUGCCGAAAGAAGGAGCCCACUAGAGCUCAUGAUCUUUCAUGGGUCGGACACAUAGUUGAUUUUUGUGAUGCACACCAUGUCCAAGUCAAGUGGGGUGACGGCAACAUGUCCAAGGUAUGCAACACGUCCAUAGAAUUACUAUAAUAUUAAUGGACCAUUUUAAAAAUGCUUAAAAGGAAGUGGUUUUCUAGAAACAGCUUUUAUUUUUGACGCCCAAGAAACUUUUUUUUCACCUAGAUACCAAAAUCCAAGUUAAUUUUGGUACCUCUUGAAGGCUCCUUACCAAUACAAAUCACCUCACAAUCACUGAUUGAAUCUUUUUUUUUGCAGCUAUAUAUGUAUACAUUAAUUACUUCAUAUAUUAGGACCAUUAUUCAAAAACGACCUUAUUAACUUCUACUUAUUUGAUGGUACCAAUUUCAGGUGUCUUUCCAUGAGAUAACUGUCGUCAAAGAGCAAAGUUUUGGUGAGUUCCUUCAGGAAAUAGGCGAGUGGGUGUCUGAAGAUGGAGGCAUGAGCAACGACGCUAUUGAUCACGAAGCACAAGUGACUGCCGCUGCCGUUGUAAGUAUCCCUCCGCACACAAAUUUCAAUUCCCCAAGAGAUCGGGUAAAUGGUUGGACGGUGCCGGGAGCGUCAACCUCGGAGCUUACGGCCAGAGGGAACAACAAUGUAUCCGCACCCGUGUCCGGUGGUGAUGGUGAUGCCAUGGAGACCUCCACUGCUGUGGCAGGCAUCAAUGGAGAAGGUGGUGGUGAGGGGAAGCAGGCAGAGGCAGAUGCCACCCGCGAUGACAAGUCAUUUAGCUUCCCACAAUUUGAUAUCGUGCAGAGCCCUUCAGAUCACCAUUACCUUGAUAACAUGGAGCAUGUUCGUAAUUUUCUUUUUUUUCCUAAGGCCCUGUUUGGAUCUUUGGAAUUGAAUUCCAUUCUAAUAAUCAUUAUCUAGAUAUAAAUUAAUUAAGCUAAUAUAAUUGUCUGUGGAAUAUAUUUGUAUAAUAUUGUUGGCGAUAUGGGAGAAAUAGUUAUGUGUUGCACUUCUGCUAUAGAGAAGCGAGUCCAAGAGCGUGCUAUAAGAAUUGAAUUCCAUUCUAAUAAUCAUAAUCUAUGGAAUCAAUUUCCAUCUCCCACCCCGUAAAUUUAAGAUAGGCUUAUAUCUAAACUUUGGAAAGUUGUGGAAUACCACAUUCAAGAUAAAUUAGCCUACUCCAUUAAGUAAAUUCCAAUUCCUUCAAAAUGAAGGAAGCUAAAUGGGUCCUAAGGGUUUUUUAGCUUUAUGAAUAUAUUAACAGUAAUACAUAUGAUGUAUAAACAGUAAUACAUUUUUUUUGGUAAAAAUUAAGAAAACGAUGGUUGCUGAAAACCCUAUAUAAUAUAAUACAAGUUACUGAUGGUUCAAAUUAAUUAAAUGAUUGCCCGUUUAGUUUUCAUACAUUGAAUCUGCCACAGUGAUGUGUCCUAUAUAUAUAGUGACUGCUAAUUAAGUUGAUGUGCUUUUGUAAACAGGGCACUGGUGGGGGGAAGAAGUGGAUGAAGAGGGUGCAAAAGGAAUGGAAUAUUCUUGAGAAUAACUUGCCAGGUACACAGUGAGUUAAUUUGCAUAUGGAGGGAAUAAAAAUUUUGAACUUUUGCAAUCAAACACAAACUCUUUCGACAUGUAUCUAAAGGUUUGUCCGUGCAUGCAGACACCAUCUUCAUGCGGGCGUACGAGGACCGCAUGGACCUCCUGCGAGCGGUGAUGGUCGGAGCUAGCGGGACGCCGUACCAUGGCCGCAUGGACCUCCUGCGCCGGCCGCCGGCGGGCUUCGAGGAGUUCGUCAGGGACCACUUCCACCGGCGAGGGCAGCACGUGCUCCGAGCGUGCGAGGCAUACCUAGAUGGCUGCCUCGUGGGCACGCUCGAUGGCGAGGGGAGCGGGGCGCGGCGCCCGUGCUCGGCGGGGUUCAGGCUCGCCCUCGCCAACGUGGUGCCCCGGCUUGUUGAGGCGUUCACCGCGAUCGACGCUGAUGGAUGCAAGGAGUUCGAUCGGAUACGGGUGCCAACAGUAUGCACUUAAUUUGUCUCUGCUACUCGCUAGUCCAUUUGUAUCCUACUUACAUUUUAAGUUACAAAACGCGUGUUCACACAUUUGAACUUUGACAUCAAUAUUAUAUUUUUGUAUACUGUUGGGAAUGGUACAGCAGUUUUGCUACAUACUCCCUUCGUCCCAUACUUCAUAAAUAAUAUUUAUUUUGACUUAACAUUUGCGAUAUGUCUAGAGAUAGAUGUACCUAGAAAAUCCAAAUAAAAAUAAAUAGUAAACUUUGGGAGGUAGGGGUAUAGUUUGCAGCUGCAAUUCGUGAUCAAAGGUAGUAGUGUGUUGAUGGUAGUAUUUCGUUAUCCAAACACGGCACUCUAUUGUGACGAACGAACACUGCUGGAUGAUCUCUAUCAGUACUGCUUGUUUGGUACUAAAUGCCACACCAAUCGGUACUAAAUGCACCAUUUAGUACACCAACCAGUACUAACUGCAUGCCACGUCUCGUUGUUGUCAAUGGCAGUUUAGCACCGGUUGGUUUUACUAACCGGUACUAAAUGUUAUUCUUUUUUCCUUUUCGUUUUCCUUUUGUUUUAUCGUUUUCCUUUUGUUUUAUAAUUUCUAUUCAUAUCCGACGGAGCUUUUACUAAUAAUAUUACGUUAAUAUAUUAACCCAUUCAAAUCCAAGUCUCACAAAUAUCAGCCCAUUCAAAUCAUUAACACUCCGAGAAGAUUGUAUAUGCAAUAAAAUAUAUACAUCAACACUUAAGGUCUAAGAGAGAACAAGUUCAAAUUCAUAAGCAAAUAGUAGGGUACCGGUACAUCCAUGCAUGUUACAUAUUUCUUACUUCCUUAGAUAUGGAACAUAGUUAAGGUCUCCAAUCAUCCAGCCUAGACCUUCGUCAAAAUAAGCUAGAGCACGGAUGAGUGCACUCUCCUUCGCUUCGUAUGGAUGGUCACAUACACUACCAUAGAUCUCAAACAAUGGAGAGGUAAACUGAUGUGGCCUGUAUAAAGUGAGAUGAGCUUGGAGCUUGAAAUCUCUGGUGAGUAUCGGAUUUCCACCCAUGUAAGUCUAAUCCAACACAUCCAAGACUUGAGCUAGAAUCACGCGAAAGCUCGUUGCUGCAUUGGUAAUACCAACUAAAAGAUGCUAAUAAUGUGAUGAAAGUAAAAUGAUAUAACAUAACUAAAGAUAAAAAAAUGUUCCAUACCAUGUCAUAUUGAUUUCUCCCUCCUCGAGCUGCUUUAUUCAAAUAUAUGAUAAGUCUGGCACAAAGUACCCAUGAUCCUUAAGCUGUUGUAGGUAGGCCUCCACGAUGGUCCUAUCAAAAGUUACCCUAUCUGGUGCUACUUGACCCCAUACAACAAUUGAAACUAUUAGGAUGGCCUGUCCUGGAGAUAUCGAGGUGAAUUAUGUUUCUCGAACAGGUACUUGAAAAAAGAUAUGUACUCUUUUAAAACGAGGUUCACCAACAACAUCAGUUUGCACUAAAGAUAUCGAGGUGCUUGUUUGGAGGGGGUCCCUACCUUACCUUAUAUUGCUGGGGUAAGGUUACAGGUUGGUUGUUGUACAAAAGUACUAGUUGGAUUCGAUCAAAGAGUCUUACUCUAACUGCCACGUGUAGUUUUCUAAUCCUCAACUAGUCCUUGUCUACCACAUAGACCACGCCGUCCUGCACCAUAGUUUCCAUAUCUAACACGUCUUGGUGUACAGUCCCAUAUGUAGGACUGUCCAAGCCUCCUGACAGUCUCAUAGAUAUAUGCUCGAAAACCGCCACCUCGACUGGUGACCGCGCCAUCGCCACGACGGGUGACCGUGCUGUCGCCUCGGCCGACAUCUCUAUCACCACCACCACCUACUAUCUUACCAUCCCGAAGCUUCCUCUUAAACCAUUGGAGACAGGUAAAACCCCUCCCUCCAAACCCCGAACUCUAUUGGCAUAGUUUAGCUUUCCCUAAAGAUAAGCUUUGCCAUAUUUUUGUCAGAAAAGAUAGAGAUAAUCCGAAAAAAUUUGUACAGGCUUACUGGGCUGGUGCGCGAGAGGCAGGCCGCGGGCGUGUCAAGUCAAGUGCACCGCCUGGGCCAUCUUGCUCCAGGUAUGAUUACAGAAGAUGACCUCAAUUUCUGACUUUCUUCUGAUAAUCUAGAAAAGUAAAUAAGCUUAUAAUAAUGUACACUUACCACUUGUUGACAUUGCCAAAUAACUGUAUCUCUCAACAUAUUUUGCUGUUACAGUCUGUGUUAUGUGAGAUUGCAGAAAUACAAUCUGAAAAGUAGUCACUUGACACAAUACUGGUGCCUGUUGGCCAAAGCCCUCUUUGAAUUUUCAUCUACUCACUGUUCUUUAUUCUUCUAAUGAACACUUAUCUGGUGAAAAAUAUUUGUUCAUAGUUGCUGCUAUCCCUUAUUCUAUGUAUAUGCAUUAUUCUUUAUUUGGUGCUGAGUUCAAUUGAAUGGCAUUUAUUAUUUCAGAUCAACUUUCACCUGGUAGGUGGUUGUAACGCCUGUAAAUUUACUAACUCAAAUCACCCGCUAAAAAUUUGUUUAAAAAUAUUUCGACUGUUGAGCUCCCAAAAGUCUCGUCCUUCCCGGCGACCCCGCCGUCCUGGCACCUAACGUUGUCAGUCAUCUUUUUCCAUCCCUGCAAAUUUCGCCGCAUGCCCAUCUCAUCCGUCGCGCGUGCCCGACCAAUUCCGAAAUUUUUGCCCACUCUCCCCCUCUCUUCUUUUUUUCCCUUCCCCUUUUUCUCUUUCCUUUUCUUCUUUUCUUCCUUCUCUUUCUUUUUUUCUUCCUUCUUCCUCCUCCGAUUUCUUCUCUCCUCCCUUCCCUUCUUGGCGCACCCUUCCUGGCACCAAAUGUCUGGCGCUAGUGCCUGGCGCCGCUUGCCUGGCCACCUGCGCCUGCACCCAGCCCCGCGCGCCGUCGACCGCGUCGAGCCUCUCGCCGGCCAUCGGUCGUCGCCCGCUACCGCACGCCACACCGGUCGUCACCCCUGUGCUCCUCGUCGAUCAAGCCAGCCCCCACCACGCCAUCCACGAGGAGUUCCGCUCCGGCAUGCCACCGGCCGGAAACUCCGGACAGCAUUAAGCUCGCCGGCCCUGCCGCCCCUGUGUGCUGUCGCCCCUCCCGCCGCCUAUAAAAAGCGGGUCGAGCCCCUGCCGCCUCCCCACCACCACCGGCGUCGUCCCCUGCCUACCGCCAGCACCGCCCCGGCUCCCUGCGCACUGCCGCUCCGUGGCAAUCCACCGCUGCCGCCCCACGGCACGCCCGGCGCCCCCCUCCUCCAACACCAUCCGCCCAAGGUGAGGCCUCAAAUGGAGUCCCCUCGGCCUCCUCUACCUCCUCCACUACUCGGCCACCGCCGGCGUGGCCCGGCCAACCGCCCUCUCCCCCUACCGGUUUUCCCCUCCUCUCCCAUCUCCCUAUCACGGUCCAAGGAAGAAGAAGGCCCCAAUUUCAAUCUAACCCCCUGGUUUCCCCUAUUCACAAACCGGCCCUCCCACCUCUCUCAAAGAAGUAUCGCGGAUACGCCCUUCCAUCUUUCAGAAAUAAUUGCAAAUAGGUCCCUGGUUCAUGCAGUUUAGUCCUAAACCUUGUUUUAAGCCCCUAACACUCCUUUAACUCGUCAUUUCAUGCACCAAACUUCGUCUAAUUGAUCCCAAAUUUGACCACGGCCUCCUCCCAUAUACUUCCGCUGAAGCAUAUCCAAAUUUUAAUUCUCUUUUAUUUAUUGUGUGCUCGAUUGUGUGUGCCGUAGAUUGCGGAGUACCCGAGGAGGAGCACGAGGAUGAGUUUGAACGCGAGCCUAAGCUCGAGGACCAGUACCGCGAGCAGGAAGUCCCGCAAGGCUUUGAGAACGGCAAGUCUAAUCUCACCCUUUGAUGCAUAUUUAUCCUAGUUUUUCAAACACAAUCUCUUGGCCUGUUUUAUAAAUUGCAUAUUGUCUUUCUGCGGAAACAUGGUUGGAUAGCUACUCCUUUAUUGUUAUGAUUAUUCCUUGCUUGUCCUAUAAUUAUCUCUAAAUAUGACUAGCUCUGUUUGGACGAUAAUUACUGCUAGAAUGCUUAGGGCCUUGUUACUCAAUGCAAUCAUGACUACAAUGCGUUUUGUUAAAGACUAAAUGUGUGAGUGUUUUAAAAAGGGAAACCGGGUUUUCGGAAGUAAAGGAAAGAAAUGCUUAGAUGAGAUGGAUGGGUGUUUCAGGUGUGAAAUGCCAAUAAGUUGGGCUCGUACCUUGGUGGUUGAGCAAGGUUGGGAGAUAUCCAUCUUUUCAUGGUUAAGGACCGAGUUGAUGUGUCAUCUUGCCUAACCCAACCUUCGUGCAACCACUCGACCGUUGUAUGCGGCAACGGCUUACCAUAAAUCCCACUAGCUAAACUUUUAGUCUUCAGGAGAGCUGGUGAGCAGCGGGAGUCCAUGGAAAAGGAGUAUGAUCUUGGUUACUUAGGUCCCGGUUAAAGAUCUCGUUGGGAGGUCAUUAACCCCUUGGUUACUUCCAUGUUGAAUAGUCAAGCUUAGCUAAGGUGGGUAAUGGCUUUGUUAGGAUCCGCACCGGCACUAAGGUGAUCGUGCUGCGGUACCCUACUUGAAAAAAAAGUGUACAACCUCUGCAGAGUUAAAACCUAUUUGGGUAGCCGUGUUCACGGCAUUGGACGAGUUACGGCUUGGUCACAUAACUAGCACUUGGAGUUGGAUAAUUUUUAUGGCGUGUGUUGGAUUUUGGAAGUAUCCGACAGUUGUGCGGUGAGCUAUGGCGGAUGGGCAGUCCGAUAGCAAUUAAAUUUUGGAUCUUUUAUGUAGGAUCAACCCCACUUCAUGUUCCGGUUUCUAAAGGAAAUGUUUUGCAAAAAAGCUUUGAAAAUGAACCCUUGCACGUGUUCAAAAUCUAGCUUUACUGCAAAUAAACGUUAAACUCAUCCUUGUUAUAUCAUGUGCACACUCUUGCUUGUAUCCCCCUCCGUGGAUGGGGCCGGGUUCCCAAUCGGUUGCCUUUUGCCAAUAAAGAAUCGGCCGAUUAGGAGGUUGGGUUAAUUGGGCCUGUAUGGGCUUGGAAAGGAAUAGAAGGAUAAGGGGGAGAUCAGCCCAUGAAGCGUAUAAUAACCAACCUAGCACGAAUCGUGCUUGUAAAUAUUCGUUUUCUAUUUGAAUUAGGGAUAGAAUUCUAGUCAGUUAAGGAGUCGUCUGUACGGGGCUAUAAAUAGCUACCUUUGUAAAUCUGUAAUCAUCAACUACUCAAUACAACCAACUACUUUUUCCUCGUACUUACUUUCAAGCAGGCGACUUCGCCAAAUACUUUCUCUUUUCACGAGUUCGUACGGGUUGGCAGGGCUGCAUCAACUUGAUGUCCGGCCGAUCUUGUAAGUUCCGUUUACCGAGUAAAUUCUAAGCUUUAACUUCGGGUGUAUCGCUGUUGUUUCGUUUAGAUUUAUUCACUAGUUAUCGAUAUUUACUAGAAUCAUAGGGUUUACCUGUCUUUCUAGUUUUAUCACCAGUUAUCCAGCUAGGAAUCGGUGGUUUCGGCUUUCUUUACGUUCUGCUAUUAAAUUCAUCUAUUUUAUAUAUUGCCGAUUAGAUCUAUUCCUAGUAUUGUUAUCAUAGCAUUGUGUCGAUUACUCUAGUAGUUUUCUAUCUACAAGGCUACAGUGAUCGGCUGCCUUAUAGCCGAUUUCUUUAUUACGGCAAAUCGGCCGAUUCGCUGAUAAGCUCUCUCGAGAUCGGAAACUUAGCCGAUCGUGAUUUCUGGACCUAACACGUAUUCUUCCUUGCCAAUCAACAGGUCAGAUUGGCUGGCACGCCGCGCGAACCACACCAGGGCAAUCACCCGAACAGGAGUUAAGCAGAUUCUCCCGGGUCGUGUGUCAGACGCUGGGGAUUCGGUUGACCGAUUUCUAGCACCAACAGGUUUCUAAAGGAAAUGUUUUGCAAAAAAGCUUUGAAAAUGAACCCUUGCACGUGUUCAAAAUCUAGCUUUACUGCAAAUAAACGUUAAACUCAUCCUUGUUAUAUCAUGUGCACACUCUUGCUUGUAUCCCCCUCCGUGGAUGGGGUUGGACUUGUUGAGUACUUUCGUACUCACCCUUAUUUUGUUGCUUCAGAGGAAGACCCGUACUACGUCGCCGAAGAUUUCGAGUAGGAGGUCGCUUCCGCACGCAAUGCUACCUGUGGUGUUGGCCUUUACAGGAUGCUUCCGCUGACGCUUAGUUCCGAUUGCAGUCCAAAGUCCGACUGGACUGCAACUUGGAUCUGUAUCGUUGUUGGUUUAGUUCUUCUUUGGGUGUGGCUUUCCCUCCCGCUCCUUUGUGAGUUGUACGGUUUUUGAACAAUCUGUUGAAUAAAUAUGUUAUCAGCCUCCUGAGACUGAUAUUUGUAUCACAUUUAGUUUCUACUUACGUGGGGACGCUUCAGGUGGUAUCAGAGCUGUCGUUGGCUGUAGGACGCAACCAUUAGGAUCGUAAAAGUCUUUUCGACCAAAAUAAAUGAUUUACAAAAUUUCUUGCUUCCCCUACUCAUUUGCAAAACUGAUUUACACCCCGAUUCUUUCCAGAUGGCCGAAGAAGGAUGGGUCAACAGCCACCGCCUGGAGGAGCAUGAUUUUCUCAGGUUGCUGUUCGCCUGCAUGGACCGCCUCGGGAUUUAUGAGCGCCCGGAGUACACCACCAGGGAGUAUUAAGUGGUUAAUGACAUAGUUUUCCUAUUGUGCUAGAGUAAAUCAGCACACGCCUUUGUUUGACUUACUAAUUUCAUUUUUAUGUCUUUGUUGUCCUAUCUUGAACUCCAAGGACCGUCGGGCUUGGACUUUGGUCAAUCAGUCAGAGUACUACAGAGACUCAGCCACUCAGGUACAAUUAGCAUGAAAAAGCAUUUGGAUCCGGUCACUCUAGUAAGGACUAAGGAAUCCUCAAUACAGCUAGUUUACUUCUCUGUGUUUGUUGAGUUGGUUUUUCAUCCUAACCAAUGAUCUGAUAAAAUAAAAUAGUUCAGCAGAUUGCGCAAGAUUGAGUCCCCACUCCCCAACAUGAUAUCCCAUCAUUUAUCUUUUUAUGGUUACCUUUCUGAAAUAGAGAUCAAGGUCACUCCAGAAUAAUCAUCUACUUCUGAAAAGUCUGAAGGUAGGUGUCCAACAUAUUUCUACUACUCUAGAGUUUCAGUGAAACAGCAGAACUCUUGGGCAUGAUCUUUUUGUCUUUGUUGUUACCAUGGAAACCGAGUUCUACAUUGAUUGAAUCUUGCAAUGCUUGAUUCAUCUCUGCUGCACUCAGUCAGGUCUGAUACUUUGCUAGAUUUGUGUCCUUAGACUCUGAAGCAAAAUCUUGUUAUAGGCUUUCUGUAGCAAAAUUGAUUCCUGUUUUGCAGUGUGUACUUAGACUCUUAGAUCGCUGUUAGUUGAAACUGACGAAUCAUACUGGCACCUAGGUGGUAUCUUAUCUCACAAGUAGUGUUUGCCUUGGCUUGGUGCAGCGUUGUUCCUUGAGUCAGUGUCCAUGCAGAUGAUACAAGAGGUUGCACCAGCCACUCCGCUGUCCCAGUCAGGAAUUCCAAUGGAAUGCCUGGUCCUGGUCCUGGACUUUCUAAGGGUUAAAUGUUAACAACACCAUGUCCAAAUACUAACACUGCUUUUGUGCCUUUAUCCUUGCCAUGGAAACAGGGUUUGCUUGAGCUUGACUUUGCACAAUUAGCCAUGGUACAACAAAUAGUGUUAGGUAAUUAGCACCUAAAAAACAUUCAGGUUCAGUCUGAUUACUCUGUACGUACGUGACAUUGGUGGUCGUACCUGGUAGUGCAUAUUGUGCAAGCUCAAGUACUGUACACAAUUCAGCAAACCAGCAUAACUUGUUUGGCCAUCAAUUUAAUUUGUCUCUUUGGUCUUAACAUAAAAACAGAAUUCUCUGCGGCGGUUCAGUGUCACCGUGCACGGCACCAGGCACUAGUGCCACCAGAACAGCUUGCAACGUACACCGUUGUCCUCAAAUUUGUUCAGGGGUGUCACAUGUGUCCUUACCCUUUUAAAUUUGCAGAUUAUGUCGCUCAAGUUCCAAACAUCAGUAAUUAGCAUAUGCUUGCCUUUACCAUGCCAUUAAGUUGCUACACUCGCUUUCCUUUAGUCACUUGGUCUAUUUUGCAAAUUUAUGCCUCUUUUGAUUGUGUUGUCAUCAGUCAUAAAAAAGGGGAUAUUACUGAAAGUAGUUCCAUUAGGCUAUUGUCUUGUGAUUUUGGUAGUUGAGUGGUUAUGUAAUCACUGGGACAUAUGUUUGUCAAGUAUAUGUUUUGGAAGGGUUUCCUAGGUCUCAAGAUGAAAUACAAGUGAAGCAAGCAACCAUGGCAUGAAGAAUGGAGCAAAAUAAGCAAAGAUGUACAAUGGAGUGUUCGGUCGGUCACUGGACUGAAAAAUAGUACGUGGGAGUGAAAUAUACUAAAAAUUAAUUAUAUAUAGUAAUUAUAUAAAUACUAGUUUGAUGUGUAUAAUAUACUAAAAUUUAUAUAGGCCUCCGCUAUUUGGUACCCAGGGUACAGAAGUUAUUCUGUACCUGAGAACCACCUCCGCGCCCGUCCGAGCGCUCCUUCAGUACCGGAUCUUUUUUUUCUUGGUCUACAAACUAUUUCGAGAAAAAACACGUAUUGGAAAAGGACGCACUAAAUGACAAGCCUUCUGAUUAUUUGGAAAUUCUAUAAAAUAGAAUUGUAAAAAUUACAAAAUUUGCUCCAUAGAACAUGCAUUGCUUUUUGUUUGCAGACACUACAUAACAGAAUUUAAAAAAAAAAUUGCAAAAUUUGCUCCAUAGAAAAUUCAUUGGUUAAAAAAGUAUUUAAAAUUGUAUAAUUGUUGGUUCAAGAAUUCAGUUUGUAUGAUCAAACGGACCAAUAUUUAGAUUGAACCAUCGAAAUUGUCAUGUUUCCUUAAUCAAAAUGUUUGUUCAUCAUAUCAAAGGGUCUUUAAGGUCCAACUUAUCUUUUUUAUUAAUUGAAAUGUGAGCUAGUACAGUAAAUAUUCAACGACUGAGUGAUCUUUACAUUCGUGAUAAAUCUAGCCAUACAAAUUGGCGACCAGGUGUCUCAAUUUCAUGAGACGGAAUUUCGCAAUAGACUGAGCAGUCAGGUGCCCCAAGAAUACUAAUUGGUUAAUGAAUCUUUGUUCUCUGUCCUCUCUAUGACCAAUGUCAUCUGCCUCAUAGUCACAUUGCUUGUAACCUACUUGCACACAAACAGACUGAAAAACAACAUAUUGAAACAUGUGGGCAUCUAAACAAUAGUACAAUUUUGCUGGUGUCUUAAUCAGAAGCAAACCAUAGUGAGCUUGUCACAAUCUCUGUUAGUGUAUUCGUUCCUGAAGUUUGCUUGUGACCUCAUUGUACUCACUGCCGCCCAAGCCUGCAAUAGAACACGAUAGCAAAAGGUUGCAGCAAGCAAAGUGGCAUGCAUAAGCGAAUACUGACAUUUCAGAAUACAUAAGUACGCAUAUGGACAGUAAUUUUCAUCAGAUCUGGGAUUUAUGAGCAACUGACAUGUCACACAAGCAAUUGUACUAAGCAUGCCAUAAAGUGUAGGAAUCAGAAACCUAAAAUCUGAAAUAUCAGCAGCUACAUAUAAAGAUAAGGGUAGAUAUAUUGAUACCGCAUAUUAUGCCCACUGUUUAAUAGGUGCAAUCUUAGAAGAGAUACUAAAGCCAAAUGGGAGCAUACUGACAAAUGAAGCAAAUGAAACUUCCACCUUCAGGCCAAUAGGCCAUGGCAUACCAAGUGAAAAUUCUAUAUAGUGGGGGAGAAAACCAACAGAUAGUUGCAAGCAUUCUAAUUAUAGAUUUAACUGCACAGCACCAACUACAAAAGAAUAUGCCUUUUUUAAAAAAAAAAGAAACGUCACCUAAUGAGUGCUCUUUGCGAAAAAAAUAAGAAAACAAAACUAAAUUCUUCAUGACAGAUAACAGAGAAAACAAUCACAUCUUCUAUCUUCUGGAAACAUCACACUUCUAUCACCAUGGAAAGAAACAAUAUCAUUUAAAUUAACGAUAGAUAUCACUCAGUUCUUCAUCUGAAACAAUUAUCAGCUGGUCCAGGGGCUGAAAGAUUUGAUUGGAUCGAUAUGAGAUAACCCUGGAAAGCAUAUAGUCACUACUUGUAACUUGAUUUAAUUCGCACCAGCAGCUAUACCUAUUGGCUAUUGCACAUAAUCACACUGAGGGACAUGUGAGAUGGUAAGGUAAAAAAAACCUUUAUUCUAGAUGUACUGCUGGACUGUAUCCCCUUUUGCCUUGAUUUUUCAAUGUUAUAUCUGGGAUAAUUUGUAUUGCAAACAUGAACCUGUCAGCACGACUGCAUCACAAGGAAAAGGGGAUUAGCAUGCAUGCAAGAAUCUAUAGAAAAACAACAGAGAGGCAAUAUGGUUACAAAACAACAAUUACCAUGCAGAUUGAUUAUCGGAGGAAAUAAGAUCCACCUCUCCAGUGGUGUUAGAUCUACACAAAGGAGCAUAAAUUAAAAUUGGAAAUAGGAUUAAUUGAACAAAAAUCACAGGCAAGAUCAAUUUCAUCAGAAGAAUUCCUGAUCUCAUGCAGUCUCAGCAGCAUGCCAUCAUGGAUGCCUUCCAGCAUAAUUGACCAGAUACGGCCGCGCAUGCCCCAACAACAUUCGUGUGACACAAAUCCAAAAUCAAUUUCACCAACAUCAAACACAGUUGCUCACCUGAUUGCCGAGAGUGUCGCUGUUGCCACAUAUGCUUGCGUCUGCACGGAUGAGGCACAACAACCUGGGUACUCGCAGAAGCUGAUGACCACGAGUGAAGAACAAGUACAUGAGCGUGCUGUUAAUGGCAUGAAUCCCAGCGGAGAGAAGGCAUCUAGCAGUAGCACGUAUGCCUGAACUCCAUAGGAAACAAAUCCAAAAAAAUCCGCAUGCACAUAAGCACAAAAGUUUUGAAUCUUUGAACUAGAUUUUGGAUGGGGGCACACAGAUUGCACCAACCUGGAGCUCCCUUCGUGAUGGAGGGCAUCUCUGGAGCCACUGAGCACUCGCCGCCCACGAGUCAUGAGGAGGAAGCUGCCGCGGCCGGGUCGUCGCACGCAGGGGAUUGGUGCCGCGCCGGAUCAUCGCCACUCCACCGGCGAAGAAACUAGGAGCGUCAACCACACAUCAUGGGGAUAGCAAGAUAACGCGGAUGAGAUUUUCUACGCAGAAAAAUCAAAAAUUUUGGGAGACCAUCCGCAUCACCGCAAUGCAUACCUGCCCUCACGGAUCUAGAAGGGGAGCGCACAGCCGCACCGCCGCUCGCCUGGAGGACGGAGCCCCCGCCUUGAUUUGGUUGUCAGGUCAGCAAAUCCGGUUCGCCCUCACCCACGACGAGGAUCCGGCCGUGAGGUGGCCCUGUUGUCCGCCGUAAGGGGAAGGAGACCGCAGCCGUCAUCACGUGGAGGGGGAUGGCGCCAACGACCAUCACCGACCGACCAGCCCCCGUAGCUUGUGGCACCGUCCAUUAGGCCCACCCUUGGAUCUGGGUGACAGGAAGGGGAUAAGGAAGCAGCCGCCGCAACACUACCGUCGGAGUGCCAGGGAGGGGCGGAGGCGGUGCUGCGGAGGGCCUAGCGGCGGCGGCGGAGUGGAGCAGAGCACGAGAGGGACGGGGAGAGAUGCGGUCGCGGUCUCACAGAACUGUAAAUUCAGUUUGUAGGCCACGAUCUCCGGCUCUCCGCCGUAGAAAAAAAAUAGCAAAAAAACCAGUGCGGGCGGCGGACCGGAGGGGCUCGGGUUAGGUUCAGCUCCAUGGAGCGACCCAGGUACGGAAUAGCUUAUUCUGUACCUAGGGUAUUAUUUAGUAUAUAUAUAUAUAGAUCUAUAUAUAUAGAUCUAUAUAUAUAGAUAUAUAUAUAUUACUGUCAUGAAAUAUAUAUACGACUUGCAUACAAUAUUAAUAUGACUCGAAUAAAAUAUUAAUAUGGAAAAGAAUAUUUUUUUAAAAAAUCUUAAGUACUAAAGGGGGAAACCGUGACCAAGGGGGUAGAACUUCCCUUUGUCUCGAAAAUUUAGUCCCGGUUGUAUUUUCGGGAUUUAAGACCCUUUCCAACCGAAACUAAAGCCGCGUUUUCCACCAGUGCCCUGCCAUCUCCACGGACCAUCCAGAUGUCCACCAACCUCCCAUGGCCAGUAGCGUUCACGCCGCCUCGGCGGCUUGAACUGCCUCCACCACCCGCUACUUUGCCGCCCGAACCUCCUUCUAGAUCCACCGGGGAUAGGUACGCCCUUUCUUCAAAACCCCGAACCCUGAAAGCUUGUGGGAAGCUCCCCGGAGCUAGAGAAGAAACAGAGAGCUGAAAAAAACAGGUACGUAAUCUUUCCCCACCCGAGUCAUCUUUAGAAAUUUCGUUUUUUCUUUUGACGGAUAGAUCCGUGUUGGUUAAUUAAGUGCGCAUGCCGCACGUGGGCUCACAACACGACACAAGGCGCAUGCUCCUCCAUGUGAUGCGUCGUGUACGACUCGAACUAGAUCUCGUCUCCGAAAACAUCUCGGCAUGCUCGUGCAGACCGAGUAGAAAACACCCAAACCCUCUGCUAAAGAUUACGAUUAUUAGCCUUUGCGUACGGAACAUACAACCUCGAGGGAGAGAACCAGCUGAUCCAAUUCAAUCAAUCACGCCGACAAUGCAGGACAAGGCUGGGCAGUUCAUCUGCUGGCUAGACUUGGUCAGGCUCAACUCGCCGGCGGCAGGCUCCAACCGGGACCGCGGGCUGGUUCUCAAGGGCAUGCCCGGGCCCAAGGUCGUCGUGCAGUGCCUCGAUGGCACCGAGGUGACGGUGAAUGCUCGCAACGUCCGUGUCGCGGACCGGAGCUACUUCUGCCCGGGCAUGGUCGUCGCGUCGGCGUCAGACCGUGGCGGCCAGCUCGGGGUCGUCACGGGCGCCGCCGUGGAACUGGAUCUGGUCCGGCUAGACGGUGAGGACGCGGCGGCGGCGUUGGUCGCGAGGAGCGUGUCCCCAGCGGAGCUGCGCCGCGUCAGUGAGUUCUGCCUAGGCGACUACGUCGUGUUAGGACCGUGGCUGGGCCGGGUCUUCGAGGUGUCCCUAGACGUCGACGUGCUCUUGGACGACGGCACCGUCUGCAGGGUCACAACAGCGGACGCCAAGCUGUGCCCCGUCGGCGAGGGCUCUUCAAAACGCUACACCAACGUCUUCUAUCCGGGGCAGCGCGUCGGCGGCCGCUCGUCCGUCUUCAAGGCCGCCCGGUGGCUCAAGGGCUACUGGAAGCCCAGCGAUGGCGAGGGCACCGUGUCCAAGGUGGAAACCGCCAGCGUGCUCGUCUACUGGGUCGCGUCGUCGCAGCUGGGCGCCGAGAGGUCCGUCGUCCAGGCGUCGUCCACGCCGGCGCACCAGCAGAGCCCUCGCGAUCUGACAUUCUUCCGCGCUGGCGACGACGUCUUGGCAAGGUUCUGGGGCGUGGGCGACCGCUGCUUCUUCCGCGCUCCUUGCCGCCGCCGCGUACUCCCUGCCGGCGAUGUCGGUGCCAACCGGAAUCGGCUGCGGCGGCUGGGGGCGAAGCGGACGCCGCGACGAGAAAGCUGGAGCCACGCAGGGUUCGAGCGGCCGUUGUCCGUCGCCAGCACGCGCACGACGCUCGACGUGCUGUGGCAGGACGGGACGCGGCAGUGCCAGGCGCCGUCGGUGUCGCUCGUUCCCACGAUGCCACAGAACACCCACCACUUGUUCCCGGGCCAGCGCGUCGUUAGCAGGACAUCGUCGGACGACGGCGACGUCGCGCGUUCUGGUGUCGUCAGAAGCCUCAACUUCACGGACCAGACCGUGCGCGUGUCGUGGCAAAAGGCGGCGGCUGAACACGCCGAUGACGAGACACUGAGCAGCACGUACGAUCUCGGCAGGGAUUUCGACAGCAAUGUCUUCUAUGGAGAUGUUGUCGUCCGCAGGCGUCCAACAGACUCCUCAAUUGGGGUCGCCGGCGACAUUUGUGGAAGCACGGAAGAGCCAGUGCUGACACGGUGCCGAAAGAAGGAGCCCACUAGAGCUCAUGAUCUUUCAUGGGUCGGACACAUAGUUGAUUUUUGUGAUGCACACCAUGUCCAAGUCAAGUGGGGUGACGGCAACAUGUCCAAGGUAUGCAACACGUCCAUAGAAUUACUAUAAUAUUAAUGGACCGUUUUAAAAAUGCUUAAAAGGAAGUGGUUUUCUAGAAACAGCUUUUAUUUUUGACGCCCAAGGAACUUUUUUUUCACCUAGAUACCAAAAUCCAAGUUAAUUUUGGUACCUCUUGAAGGCUCCUUACCAAUACAAAUCACCUCACAAUCACUGAUUGAAUCUUUUUUUUUGCAGCUAUAUAUGUAUACAUUAAUUACUUCAUAUAUUAGGACCAUUAUUCAAAAACGACCUUAUUAACUUCUACUUAUUUGAUGGUACCGAUUUCAGGUGUCUUUCCAUGAGAUAACUGUCGUCAAAGAGCAAAGUUUUGGUGAGUUCCUUCAGGAAAUAGGCGAGUGGGUGUCUGAAGAUGGAGGCAUGAGCAACGACGCUAUUGAUCACGAAGCACAAGUGACUGCCGCUGCCGUUGUAAGUAUCCCUCCGCACACAAAUUUCAAUUCCCCAAGAGAUCGGGUAAAUGGUUGGACGGUGCCGGGAGCGUCAACCUCGGAGCUUACGGCCAGAGGGAACAACAAUGUAUCCGCACCCGUGUCCGGUGGUGAUGGUGAUGCCAAGGAGACCUCCACUGCUGUGGCAGGCAUCAAUGGAGGAGGUGGUGGUGAGGGGAAGCAGGCAGAGGCAGAUGCCACCGGCGAUGACAAGUCAUUUAGCUUCCCACAAUUUGAUAUCGUGCAGAGCCCUUCAGAUCACCAUUACCUUGAUAACAUGGAGCAGGUUCGUAAUUUUCUUUUUUUUCCUAAGGCCCUGUUUGGAUCUUUGGAAUUGAAUUCCAUUCUAAUAAUCAUUAUUUAGACAUAAAUUAAUUAAGCUAAUAUAAUUGUCUGUGGAAUAUAUUUGUAUAAUAUUGUUGGCGAUAUGGGAGAAAUAGUUAUGUGUUGCACUUCUGCUAUAGAGAAGUGAGUCCAAGAGCGUGCUAUAAGAAUUGAAUUCCAUUCUAAUAAUCAUAAUCUAUGGAAUCAAUUUCCAUCUCCCACCCCGUAAAUUUAAGAUAGGCUUAUAUCUAAACUUUGGAAAGUUGUGGAAUACCACAUUCAAGAUAAAUUAGCCUACUCCAUUAAGUAAAUUCCAAUUCCUUCAAAAUGAAGGAAGCUAAAUGGGUCCUAAGGGUUUUUUAGCUUUAUGAAUAUAUUAACAGUAAUACAUAUGAUGUAUAAACAGUAAUACAUUUUUUUUGGUAAAAAUUAAGAAAACGAUGGUUGCUGAAAACCCUAUAUAAUAUAAUACAAGUUACUGAUGGUUCAAAUUAAUUAAAUGAUUGCCCGUUUAGUUUUCAUACAUUGAAUCUGCCACAGUGAUGUGUCCUAUAUAUAUAGUGACUGCUAAUUAAGUUGAUGUGCUUUUGUAAACAGGGCACUGGUGGGGGGAAGAAGUGGAUGAAGAGGGUGCAAAAGGAAUGGAAUAUUCUUGAGAAUAACUUGCCAGGUACACAGUGAGUUAAUUUGCAUAUGGAGGGAAUAAAAAUUUUGAACUUUUGCAAUCAAACACAAACUCUUUCGACAUGUAUCUAAAGGUUUGUCCGUGCAUGCAGACACCAUCUUCAUGCGGGCGUACGAGGACCGCAUGGACCUCCUGCGAGCGGUGAUGGUCGGAGCUAGCGGGACGCCGUACCAUGACGGCCUCUUCUUUUUCGAUCUGCAGCUACCGCCGUCGUACCCUGCCGCGCCACCGCUGGUGUGCUACCGAUCGUUCGGCCUACGUGUGAACCCCAACCUCUACCCCUCCGGCACGGUGUGCCUGAGCCUGCUCAACACCUUCGGUGGCCACGGAGCCGAGCUGUGGUCCCCGGAGGCUUCGACCGUCCUCCAGGUCGUCGUCUCCAUCCAGGGCCUCGUGCUCAACGCCCAACCAUACUACAACGAGGCGGGCUACGCCGACCUGGUAGGAACGCCGCAGGGUCGCCGGAACGAGCUCCCGUACAGCGAGAACACCUACCUGCUCACCCUGCAGACCAUGCUCCACCUCCUGCGCCGGCCGCCGGCGGGCUUCGAGGAGUUCGUCAGGGACCACUUCCACCGGCGAGGGCAGCACGUGCUCCGAGCGUGCGAGGCAUACCUAGAUGGCUGCCUCGUGGGCACGCUCGAUGGCGAGGGGAGCGGGGCGCGGCGCCCGUGCUCGGCGGGGUUCAGGCUCGCCCUCGCCAACGUGGUGCCCCGGCUUGUUGAGGCGUUCACCGCGAUCGACGCUGAUGGAUGCAAGGAGUUCGAUCGGAUACGGGUGCCAACAGUAUGCACUUAAUUUGUCUCUGCUACUCGCUAGUCCAUUUGUAUCCUACUUACAUUUUAAGUUACAAAACGCGUGUUCACACAUUUGAACUUUGACAUCAAUAUUAUAUUUUUGUAUACUGUUGGGAAUGGUACAACAGUUUUGCUACAUACUUCCUUCGUCCCAUACUUCAUAAAUAAUAUUUAUGUUGACUUAACUUUUGCGAUAUGUCUAGAGAUAGAUGUACCUAGAAAAUCCAAAUAAAAAUAAAUAGUAAACUUUGGGAGGUAGGGGUAUAGUUUGCAGCUGCAAUUCGUGAUCAAAGGUAGUAGUGUGUUGAUGGUAGUAUUUCGUUAUCCAAACACGGUACUCUAUUGUGGCGAACGAACACUGCUGGAUGAUCUCUAUCAGUACUGCUUGUUUGGUACUAACUGCCACACCAAUCGGUACUAAAUGCACCAUUUAGUACACCAACCAGUACUAACUGCAUGCCACGUCUCGUUGUUGUCGAUGGCAGUUUAGCACCGGUUGGUUUUACUAACCGGUACUAAAUGUUAUUCUUUUUUCCUUUUCGUUUUCCUUUUGUUUUAUCGUUUUCCUUUUGUUUUAUAAUUUCUAUUCAUAUCCGACGGAGCUUUUACUAAUAAUAUUACGUUAAUAUAUUAACCCAUUCAAAUCCAAGUCUCACAAAUAUCAGCCCAUUCAAAUCAUUAACACUCCGAGAAGAUUGUAUAUGCAAUAAAAUAUAUACAUCAACACUUAAGGUCUAAGAGAGAACAAGUUCAAAUUCAUAAGCAAAUAGUAGGGUACCGGUACAUCCAUGCAUGUUACAUAUUUCUUACUUCGCUUCGCUUCCUUAGAUAUGGAACAUAGUUAAGGUCUCCAAUCGUCCAGCCUAGACCUUCGUCAAAAUAAGCUAGAGCACGGAUGAGUGCACUCUCCUUCGCUUUGCAUGGAUGGUCACAUACACUACCAUAGAUCUCAAACAAUGGAGAGGUAAACUGAUGUGGCCUGUAUAAAGUGAGAUGAGCUUGGAGCUUGAAAUCUCUGGUGAGUAUCGGAUUUCCACCCAUGUAAGUCUAAUCCAACACAUCCAAGACUUGAGCUAGAAUCACGCGAAAGCUCGUUGCUGCAUUGGCAAUACAAACUAAAAGAUGCUAAUAAUGUGAUGAAAGUAAAAUGAUAUAACAUAACUAAAGAUAAAAAAAUAUUCCAUACCAUGUCAUAUUAAUUUCUCCCUCCUCGAGCUGCUUUAUUCAAAAAUAUGAUAAGUCUGGCACAAAGUACCCAUGAUCCUUAAGUUGUUGUAGGUAGGCCUCCACGACGGUCCUAUCAAAAGUUACCCUAUUUGGUGCUACUUGACCCCAUACAACAAUUGAAACUAUUAGGAUGGCCUGUCCUGGAGAUAUCGAGGUGAAUUAUGUUUCUCGAACAGGUACUUGAAAAAAGAUAUGUACUCUUUUAAAACGAGGUUCACCAACAACAUCAGUUUGCACUAAAGGAGAAGUACCACCUAUACCUUCGACAACAUCUUUGAGCCAUCUAAUAGGGUCGAUAAGCUACAUUGUAUGUAAGUAAAUUUAGAAAUUAUUCACGUGUAGUAAAAAUAUCAAUUAUAUGAAGGAAAGAAUAUUACUAUGUUGGGAACUGCUCCUUUGGUUCGAUCGCUGGUAGGCAAGUCAAUGAUGCGAUUGGGAAAGUGAAUUCCAAGAGGACGAGAUAAUGGUGGCUCCUCGAAAAUGUAGUGUCCGCCCUUACCACCUCCACGCCCACGACGACCAUAGUGAAAAGAACUUCCGCUUGCCAUAGUUAGCCCAAACUAUCUAAAUAAAAUUGUAAUAAGAUACAUUAUUCCACAAACAUCAACUUCAAUAGUAAGUAUAUCGUAAAACAUCAUUUAUAAUGCAAGAUAUUUACAAUUGUUGGUUUAGACCUUAUCUACAUUAUGAUAACUAAUCAAAACACAUUUAUUAUCAUAUUGCAAUUGCAUGGAAUAAAGAGAAAAAGGUAACAAUUUCCUAAAUGAAUUUACAGGAAAAAAAUGAAAAAAAUAGAAAAAAACAACCGGGGUGCUCGGGGAGGAGGCUGCGUCGGCGGCAGAGAGGAGGUGGUUCGGCGACACAUCGGGAGGACGGAGGCGAUGGGGAGGAUGCAGCGUCAGCAGCAAGGAGGAGGUGGCCCGGCGGCGUGUCAGGAGGAUGGAGGUGGCGGGGAGGAGGCGGCAUCACUAAUCUCAGUGUUUGCACAACACUAAUGGUUUUGAUUCUUGACUCCGUGAAGUCCUACAAUCUGAAAUCAGUGUUUGCACAUCACUAAUCUCAAUGAGUGUGCCCGUUUGCGUUCGGAUCUCACUAGCUAUUUAGAAUGUUCCUUUUCACCUCGGAUUUCUCGAUUGAAAUCACAUUGUUCAUGCGAAUUCCAAGUCUAUGGAGAGCCACCUCCGCUCCUCCGGUAACAGAGAAUAGCGUAAGCACAUUCAUGCCAUGUGUAGACACUAUUCUCACUAUUCAUGCCAUGUGUAUCCAUUGCCGGUCUAUCUUCAUCGUAUUACGUGAAAAAUGAACAUAGGGCUUCGUAUUAGAUAAAGAACUUGAUCCAUGUGUUUAUAAUAUUUAGUCCUUGCAAUAAACAUGAGAUAAAUAAAUUAUUGGUCAAGAAUCCUGAAAUCAACACUUUUUGCCUAACAUUGCAUACCGUUAGCACACUAUAAAUGCUGCAAUAAACUAUACAUUUUCCUCAAUCUAAUAAAUCAACAAGUACUCCAUUUGUAACAUAAAACUCAUUCUAAAAACCACUCCAUUCUCCUCAUUCUAAAAUACUCUCCUUAUUCUAAAAAAAUCAAUAAAUACUUAAUUUGUAACAUAAAACUCAUUCUAAAAUGGAAAGAAUCCAUUUUACUCCUAUCAUUUUACACCCCUCACCUAUUUAUUUUGUCCACUUAACCCCCUAAGCAAAAUUUAGGCUCACUUUACUCCCCCCAAACUACUUCAUUUGGUCCAAUCUACCCCCUAAUUAGAUUUCUCUUUUUUGUUUCUUCAUGUACAAACUCUCCUUGUUCUAGCUAAUGUACUCUCCAUUCUAGCUACAAAACAUAAAAUAUAGAAUACUAAGUAUGAGAGGAGGGAUUUGCUAACCUUUUCCUCCCCUAGUUCGAGUGAAGAAGAAGCCCGAGCUCACGGUCAAAUGGCUAAGCUCGGGCUUGGGAAGGAAGAAGCAGCUCAAUUUAUAGGAUUACCUCUAGCGCCAGGUGAUGGGUCGAGCUGGUACUAAAUGGUUUCAUGUUAGUACCGGUUGAAGAUAUCAGCCGGUACUAAAUGGUACAUCUAGCCGUUGGCCACGCGGUCCACGUGCUGCCAUUUAGUACUGGUUGAGACUCCAAACUGGUAUUGUAGGGGUUCUGGUGGCACUGUACAUGAUGACCGAUACUAAUGCGUUGGACGAAUGAUCAGUUUUUCAGCAGUGGAAUGUGCAAACACCAGCUAGCAGUACUGAAGUUGGAUGGAAGGUUGGCUUUGUCCGAACAAAUCAGUCCUUUCUGAGGCGAGGGCCCUAGCACGCGUCAUUUUGCAGUCGCUCUGAUAGAGUGCCAGGUUUUGGCGUUCAGCCGAAGUAGCUUUGGUGGGGUUCAUAUUGCUCCGUCGGUACAAGAACUAGCGCCCAGACAACCCAGAAUUGUGGAGUGCCCAGACAUCCAAGAUCCAACCCAGACAGAAACAUAAGCUAGGAUUGGAAGGUAAAUCAACCUCAAUGCCCCACGCAUAGCAUGAGCAUCAUCGGCCUGGCACUUCUCAGCCUACUACGUACAACUCUAGCCUAUGUGCAUGUGGAUAGACCCAGGUUAAGAGAUAGACCUUGGUGGGCUAGCUUAUCAUUUUUGUUCCUUUUUUUUAAAAAAGAGGGAGGAUUUUAAAUGACUAUAUUUUUUUUAAAAAAAAGAUGAACUGAAAUAAUUAUAUCUUUUGUGUGGAUGGUGGUUUGAAAAUGGGCCACAGUAGGCCCAAACUCGAGUCAAGGGCAUAUAACUGUCAAUACACGUAUUUUCGCAGUUAACUAUACUAAUGUACGCACCAAGUGUGUGUAUAUAUGUAUGUACAUAUAUAUAUCUGUGUGUGUAUAUAUAGAGUAUAUAUACUCUGUGGCUGGCUAUACAAUAAAUUAUUUUGUGUCCACCUAUUUAAAAUAAGUUUGAAUCAAUCAUUAAUUCUAUACUAGUUGUUUUAGUUUCUAAAAUAAUUAUUCUAAUGCAUCACUAUCAUCAACAAACUAUUCAAUUAAAUAAUUUUAAUGUGCAAAAAAAAUCAAUUGAUAUAUGUGGUUAACAUUGUUUAUAUUCUUCACCUCAACUAAUUUAAACACACAAAUUUAUAUAUAUUUUCCACAAGUUUUGUUAAAGAAAAAAAUAAAAACUUUACAUAUUUUGAACAUGCAAAAAUAUAUUAAAUUAGCAAGUAUAUUUAAAAUAAGUUUGAAUUAGUCAUUAAUUCUAUACUAGUUGUUUAAGUUUCUAAAAUAAUUAUUUUAAUGCAUCUCUAUCAUCAGAAAACUGUUCAAAUAAAUAAUAUCAACGCGCAAAAAAAUCAAUUGAUGUAUGUGGUUAACAAUGUUUAUAUUGAUUGAAUAAAACUUCACCUCAAUUAAUUUAAACACACAUGAAAUUAUAGAUAUGUUAAAUUAAAAAUUGUAUCAAGUGGUACAAUUAAUAAAAAACAUGAAAUCAUAGAACAUUACAAUAUAAUUCACCAUAGAGCAUUACAAUAUAAUUCAAAAGUGCUUACAAUGUAAUGUUUAGUGCAUUACAUAAAGGUGAACCAUAUUUAGUGCAUGACAAUAUAAUGUUAAAAAGCUUCUUCUUAUUGAAGGUGAACCAUAUUUAGUGCAUUACAAUGUAAUUUUAAAAACUGCUUCUAGUUGAAGGAUCGGAAAGGCGACCAGAUGGGGGUGAAUGGGAGCCGAUUCAAAUUUUUCCCAAGAACUUUGGCUAAAAACUCACAAGCCUCUCUUCUAGCAAAAUCAAGUCCAACUAGCUAUGCACAAGCUAAUGGACCUAGGAAUGAUGUUGGGAACCCAAUUUGAGAAUAGCGGAAGCAAGAAAGACUCCAAACAAGCUCCGGAAGACAAAUUUAGAAAACCAACACCUCUGUGCGAAAAAAUCCGGAGGAAUCUUCGGAAAAUUCCGGACAUGCGGAAAUUUCUGGAGGUCCGAAGAUUUCCGGAAUUAUGUCCGGAGAUUUCCAAAAUUCUAAAACAGCCUGCAUGAAGAUGGCAGAAAAAAUCUGAAACUCGAUCAAACGACCCCAAAAAAUCAUGAAAUUUUAAGCAUAGCUUCCGAACAACAUAACAAACAUAUUACCAAAAGAUCUCCUCAAAAAGAUUAGCCAAGCACAGAGAAUUAAAAAUCUUGUGAAGAACAUCGCUUUUUUAACCCUAGAACUUGAAUCGUCCCAAUAUAUGAACUCGUGAGGAGUUAGAUGAAUUCCUUUGGUAGAAAGACUUCACUCAAAUCCUAGUUCAUUUCCAAAUGAUCGGUUUGACUCUAGACUCCCCAGAAAUCACGAAUCGAACGAAAACGUGAGAAGGGAAAAAUAGGAGAAAACAAGAACGCGAAGAACACAAGCGAGAGUUUCACAAAACCGUCAUCCUCCUACACUCAGAGGACACGAGGAGGUUAGGGCCUCCAUUCCCGCAACAAAAACUCAGUUCAAUACAUGAAUUUGCUGCUCAAAAUAUCCGAGGACCUCUAGGGAGAGACUAGAGAGAGAGAGGAAAAACCAAAUGAAAUCCUAGAGAGAGAGGUAGUGACAGAGAGGUGGAAGAGGUGCUAAAAACUUCAGCCCGCCAUCUCUAUCUAUAGGCGCAGACAAAAGACUAAACUACCCCUAUUGCUACUACUAAGAUAACUACCCACGCAGGGGCAUUUUGGUCCAAGUUUUUGUGCGCUCAUCGGACGGACACGCCACCUUCAUGACUUUGCUUCGCCUCAACGCAAGCUAUGCGCUAAUACCACAUGCCCUCCUUCUCGAAGCUCCGACCGCACCGGGCUUGCCCCUGGUUUGGAGGUCCAAACCGGGAAAGCUGCCAGCGCGGUGGUUUUGAGGCUCAAACCAUCCAAACCGUCCAUCUUCGCUUGGCCGCCACGCGACCUCCUCAAUGGCGACGCGUGUCUGAUCUCCGCGAAGCCUUUGACGCCUCCAAGUCAUUUGUUCCUGGCUCCCGGGCCGCCUACUUGACUUGCCUCCGUCCCGCUUGACUCGACCAAUGCCGUCUCCAUCACCGUCAUGCUGUCUUGUCAUUCCGUGCACCAUGUGGACCGCCCAUGACUCCACCCGGACUCCUCAGGUCCAUCGGUCCAAGCCUACUCGCGUUCAUCCUUCAAAGCCCUUGGUCCAUCAGCAUGAACCUUUUGCUUGACCUUCACCGCAUGCCGUCGGCCAUCACACCGCAUCCUACACCUGCACAUCACAAGCCAAGAACAACAUCAAACCAACACAAUGUUGUCAAUCACUCAUCAUCCAAGGGUGACCACCAUUGGUCCUCAAUCUCCCCCUUGAUGAGUGCAUUGACAACACACCACAAAUUCAUAGUAUUUGAAAAAGAAAAUAAGAAACUAAAAACAGAAAAUCUCAGUCCCCUAAGAUAAGGGCAAUGGCUCUACACGACUGAGAUAAAAUCAUGUGAUCCCUCAAGAGGCAGAAAACGGGCUCAACACCAAUCACAUGAAAAACCAAAUCUGGCUCCUCAAGAAGAGGUAAAACAGAUCAACACAACCGAAAAAAGAGCAAAAGAGCACGACAAAGCUCACAUAGACUCCCCCUGAACAAAUGCACUCCCGCUGAGCAAAUACAUGAAAUUUCUCCCCCAUGUUGAAAGAAAUGCAUGAAAAAUCUCCCAAAUUCUCCCAAGAGUCUUUAUGAAUUUCAAUUCUCCCCCUUAUUGACAAUGCAAUCAUCAAGUCAAACAUGAAAGCCUAAAAAAACAUGCCAUGAAAAUGCAGAAACUACCAAGCUUCUCAGAUAUACCACGGAAGACUCUCAAAGGCUACAAGAGAGAUAAGCUUGGUGGAUUACAAGGAGCAAUAUCAUUGCUAGCAAGAUGAAUUCAUGUUACAGCAAGGAGUUGAAGCAAAUGUCUAGUUUUAGCAUUGUUUUAAAAGAUCACCACAUGAGCAAAUACCUAGUCUAGAAAUACCCAAGCAAGAAGAACUAGGCCAUCAAAAGCUCAUACAAGGAAUAAACAUUCUUGACAAAAGAUCAGUGCAGACACCCACAACACAUCACAAGUCAUGUGAGGCUUGUUGAAACCAAGUGCCUACUUCUUUUUGGUAGACAUCUUGUAAAAACUAAAUGAGCCAGAAUAUCAACAAUUAAGCAUAAAGACUUGGUGAAUUUAUGAAUUUUUGUUUUCAACAUUUUCCUUUUCCAUUAUUCACAAGGCAAAAUACAUGGAGUGCCUUUGCGGCACAAAGAAGCCAUGCUUCCCUAAGGGGUGCAUCAUGGGCUAAACAUCUGCAAUGAUACCUAGAUCUUUGACCCAAUUGAAAAGAACAUGAAUUCCAGCCACAAGCUAAAUUUGGAACUAGCAUUCAAAUAGGGGUAAAUCAAAACUAAGCAUCUACUGAUGGGUGAUACACAAGUUAAUAAAGUAGAAUUUAGCAUUGAAUUUCAAAAAGUAGUUUUCAUCAUGUAUACAAGAUCAUCAAGAGCAUAACUGCACAUUGCAUCUAAGAUAAACAACCAAAGCACUAGCUCACAAGUAGCAUAAGGUAGUAGUCAGGGCAUAUAAGAGAAGCUCAUCUAGUGCAGUAUGAUACAAAUGCAAUAUGAUAUAGAUGCAAUGAAAGCCAAACUAGCAUACUACAAAGAUGCUAAAAAAAAGUGGUUGUACAGAUAUAAUACAAGAGAAACAACAAAAUCCAACUCAGAAAGAAAAGCAAACACCCAACUCCCCCCGCAAAUGAGCAAAUGUGGCUUGAUCCAGGGGUUUGGUGAAGAUAUCAGCGAGCUGGUUUUGGGUAACAACAUAGCCAAGGUCAAUAUCUCCUCUCUCAACAUGAUCUCUCAGAAAAUGAUAUCUCACAUUAGUGUGUUUGGUUUUGGAGUGGAGAACAGAGUUCUUGGCUACACUUAUGACACUCAUGCUGUCACAAAGAAGAGGAACAUGAGUAAAAUCCAAACCAAAGUCUCUCAAAGUGAAAAUCAUCGAAAGCAGCUGAGAACAACAACUAGCAGUAGCAACAUACUCAGCUUCGAUGGUAGACUGAGCAACACUAGGCUGUUUGCGCGAAGACCAAGAGACCAAAGAUGAACCGAGAAACUGGCAAGUGCUAGAGGUGGACUUUCGAUCCAAGCGACACCUAGCAAAGUCCGCAUUGGAGUAUCCGUGGAGAGUGAGUGUCGAGGAGGCAGAAUACCACAAACCGAAUUCAGGUGUGAAACGAAGAUACCUCAUGAUUCUCUUCACUGCCUGAUGGUGAGAUGUCCUUGGUGAAGCUUGAAAACAGGCGCACAGACACACUGCGAAAUGUAUGUCCGGCCUCAUCGCUGUCAAGUAGAGGAGGAAGCCGAUCAUGCUCCGGUACUCCUUCUGGUCCACCGGAUCGCCAUCUUCAUCCGCAUCUAGUGCCAUCGUCGUUCCCAUGGGUGUGGACAGUGGCUUAGCAUCAGCCAUGUCAAACUUUCUCACCACAUCGUUCGUGUACUUCCCUUGGUGCACGAAGGUUCCUUCCUUGCUUUGCUUGAUCUGUAGACCGAGGAAGAAGGUCAAUUCACCCAUCAUCAACAUCUCGAACUCCCUGCUCAUGUCAUCUACAAACUUGGCAACAAAAGCAUGAGAGGAACCACCAAAGAUAAUAUCAUUUACAUAAAUCUGAACAAUCAUUAAGUCUUUGCCUUGCUUGAGGAGAAAGAGAGUUUUAUCAACUGACCCCAUUUCAAACCCAUUCCAAAGCAAAAAGGAUUUCAACCUAGCAUACCAUGCUCGGGGUGCUUGUUUUAGGCCAUAGAGAGCUUUUUGGAGUUUGAACACACCAUCAGGAUAUUUAGGGCUCUCAAAACUAGGGGGUUGUCUCACAUACAUUUUCUCAUCUAUGAAACUAUUUAGGAAGGCACUUUUCACAUCUAUUUAGAAGAGCUUAAAACCUUUAGUCACAACAAAGGUUAGAACGAUUCUAAUCGCUUCCAAACAGGCAAUUGGGGCAAAGGUUUCCUCAUAAUCUAUCCCCUCUUUUUAACUAAAGCCUUGGGCAACCAACCUCGCUUUGUUUCUCACAACCAACCCAUUUUCACCCUAUUUGUUCUUAAAAACCCAUUUUGUUAUCGGGUGGCAAUUUGGAGGUGGUUCAAAUAAAACCCAAACCCUGUUUCUCUCAAAGUGUUCUAACUCCUCUUGCAUAGCAUUGACCCAGUUUGAAUUAGAUAAAGCAUGUCCAAUAUCUCGGGGUUCAAAAGAGGCAACAAAAGCAGAAUGUGCAAAGUGUGAAAUCUGCCUAGAACUAUGCCUAGUGGUGUUCUCAUGCAAGUUACCGAUCAUUUGUUGAUGUGGAUGGUUAUGCUGAAUGUGUCGUGGAGCUCCUCGCUCUGAAGUAGCCUCCCCCUCAACAGCAGCUUGUUCACUCUGAUCUUCUUCUUCAUCAUCUUGUAGUAGUACUUGGUGAUAGCUUGAAGUAGUGGAAGUAGGGGUUAGAGCCAUCAACUCUUGUAGUAGAAGUAGAAGGUACAGGAGGAGCAGCUGGAGCACAGUUCACUUCAUGAUCUUCUUCAUCACCACUAUCAGCAUGCUUGUCCUCUUCAAAAAUACUUUGUCCCAUUUCAUGUUCACCUGCAGCUUCAAAGACAAGGCAUAGUUUCAUCGAAAGUAAUCUCACAAGUUUCCACAAUCCAGUUAGUUUCAAGGUUAAGUACACGAUAAGCACGACUAUGAGAUGCAUAACCAAGAAAAAUACCAUCAGUGGACCGAGACUCAAAUUUCUCCAAAUUGCCUUGCUUCAGAAUAAAGUACUUGCAUCCAAACACUCUCAAAUGACUUACCUUAGGGGAAUGUCGAUGCAUCAAUUGAUAAGAGAUUUUCUUCAUAAAAGAUCACAAGAAGAUUCAAUUGGAAACAUAGCAAGCAGUGUUUAUGGCUUUGGCCCAAUAUUUCCUAGGAGUCCUAUGCUCAUCAAGCAUCGUCCUAGCCAUCUCACAAAGGGUUCGAUUCUUCCGUUCAACAACACCAUUCCGAGGAGGGACAUAAGGCGAUGAAAACUGGUGUUUAAGACCAAGAUCAUUGCAAAAGGCUUUAAAACAAACGUUCUUGAAUUCUGUGCCAUUGUCACUGUGGAUAGCUCUCAUGACAUCUUUAGGUUGCUCAUUUUUCAACCUCAAGAUCAAAUCUCAAACAAAAGGAAAUGCCUCCUCCUUAGACUCCAUGAAGAAAACCCAUGAAUACCUCAAAAAAUCAUCAACGACUACAAGCACAUACCACUUCCCACCAACUGAGCAAACACAAGCUGGACCAACAGUGUCCAUAUGCAAUAGCUCAGAUAGAUGCUCAGUCAUCACCUGAUUCACAGGUGGAUGAGAAGCAGCAACCAUUUUCCCAUGUCGAUAGGAAGCACAAAUGAGAUCCUUCACAAAUUUCAAUUUGGGCAAAUCAUGAAUAAGAUCCAAAGCACUCAGGCGGGAUAGCAAAUCAAAACUCAAAUGUCCCAAUCUCCUAUGCCACUUCCAAAGUUCAGAAGAAGAGCCAGCAACCAAACAUUGAGACAAACAAAAAGACUUAGAAAAACCACACGAAACACCUGACCCUCGAGGACGAUCAUACACACAAGACCUCCUCGAGAGUCUAAAAUCCUUGAGGUCCCUUGCUUAAAAUGGACCUCAAAACCAUCAUCAAGCAGUUGCAACACAGAGAGCAAAUUGAAACCAAGAGAAUCAACAAGAGCAACUUGCUUGAGCAUGAAAUUCUCACUCACCUUGAUUGCACCUCCAGACAAAACCUUACCUUUGCUAUUAUCCCCGAAAGUGAUGUACUCCUUGGUCAUCACCGGAGUGAGGCUGGAGAACCAUCUGUGAUCACCGGUCAUGUGUUGAGAGCAAUUGGAAUCAAUAAGCCACGUGUUCUCUAGGCCUCUGACCUGCUCAAACAAAGGGAGACCAAGGAUGAGCAAAUGACUCAACACUAGGGUUAGAAAAACAAGUAGAAUACCAGUGUUGACCAUUUUCUCAAGAGUGGGGUUAGCAAAAUCAACCAUCUCUCAUCUCACAGGAGGACUACGGCCAACACUAGGAGGGAAACGUGGUCCGUUGUAACUGCAAGACUCAAAGCCACGACCAUGCUUUCCUGGGCCAUAUUGAUCAUGGCGAGGAGCAUGCCUAGCAAAACCAUGCGACUAGCCCUGUUAAUUGGGUUGGGUUUAUUGGUUUUAAUGGUUUGGUUUAUAUAAUAAGUUCAUUUGAAUUGGUUUAUAAUGAGUUGACCUGCUAGAUGGUUUGGUUUGGUUUGGGUUUUACAAAUAAAUAGUUUGGAAGGUGUUUGGGGUGUGUGGUAUUAUUUUUGGAUCUAAAAGACUCUCAACCCGUGGGUUGAGACCCAUUAAAAACCCAAAAGCCUGGAGCCUCAUCUAUCAAGAGUCGGACCCUAAAAAUAAAACCUCGCGUUCACACCUUAAAAUUUUGGAUAAAUUGAUCGAAACUUGUUACAGAUGAAUUAGUUUAACAGUCCGCUACUGUAUGCAAAGUAGUACGGCUGGACUUACAUGUGGGGCCCGCGUCAAGAGUCGGACCCUAAAACUAAAACCUCAUGUUCACACCUUAAAAUUUUGGAUGAAUUGACCGAAACUUGUUGCAGAUGAAUUAGCUUGACAGUCCGCUACUUUGUGCAAAGUAGUAUGGCUAGACUUACAUGUGGGCCCCACGUUGAGAGUCACAUACAAACUCAAAAAAAAAGUUAACUAAUGGGUUUUUAUUAGGUACCUAAUGGGUUCUUAUUGGGUUGUAACCAUAUUUGGCAAGUAAUUUGUAUAACUUAUGCAAUGGUAAGUUUGGGGUGGUGUGGUGUGUGAUAGUGGAGAUUUGGUUUAGGGUGGGUUAUAUUUAUUUUCUUAUGAGAAUAGAUUGGUGUGGUUACAACAUGGGUUACAACCCAAUUAACAGGGCUACAUGCGACGGAUCAAAACGCACACUUUCCACAUGACGAGGUGGAGAAGCUGCUCUAGGCGCAUGUACACCAUGAGAAGGAUGGUACAUGUCCCUGUUGCCCCACUCACGCUCACAGCUCAAAACCUUCUUCUUGCGAAAGCAAAACUUCUCAAGGUGACCCCCUCUCUUGCAAUACUCACUAGAAGGUUGUUUUGGUUGUGCAUUUGCUUUGGGUUGAGGGUUAAAUCUUGGUUGUGGUUUGACUUUGAGUUUUGGAGAGGGAUACUUGGGAGCAAUUUCUUGAAGUGUGUCAAGCUUGUUCUUGAGGUGGUUUGGCUUUUCCAUCCAAAUAGCUUUCUUGGAUGCUUUGGGUGGUGUCUCAAUGAAAACUCCAUCUCUCACACACUCAGACACAUUUUGCUCACAAGCUAGAUUGGGUUGCUCUCUAUUUAGUGUGGGUGUCCCUCGAGGGGUAUAGUCAGCUGGUGGCUCACAUAGGUUGUAGCUUGGUUUCUUUCUCUCACCACUGUUUUGGCCCACCUUCUCACACAACCCAUCAAAGAACUUGUGCAACCCAUUAAAAUGACAACCCUUGAUAACAGACCCAUGCCCAAAACCAUCAGCCCUUUUGAACUCCUGAAUCAUCAUGCCUAGCUGAGGUUCCCUACUUAAUACCCAACUAAGAACAGUACACAAAUAAGAAUUUUCAUCCUUACCAUGUUGCAAAGCAUCUCUAAUUUUAGGACAUUCAGUGCAAAUAGAAACUUCAGAUUUCUCAAGAACCUUAAUCCUAGCACAAGCAUCAUCAAAUUUAGUUUGUAAGGCAGAGCAAGAUUUGCAAGCACCAAACAAAACAGGUUUAGUCUUAAUCUCAUCUAGAGCAUCCCUAGUCAAAUCAAGUUCAUCUACAAGCAAAGCAUGCUUAGAUUGCAAAGAAGCUAUACUAGCCAUGUGAACAGCACAUUCAUCACACUCAACAACAUCAGAAAUGGUGAGAGCAGACUUGAGCAUAUCAAUCUCAAUCAAGGCACUCUCUAACUUAGCCUUAAGCUCAACUCGCUCUCUAGUAGCCUUCUUAAGCAAUUUAUCAUGACUGAUAAGGCAAUCAUUCAGUUCUUCUCCUUCUAAAGCAAGCUGUUCAGGAGUAGGUAUUACCUCAAUUUCUUUGUUGGAGUCGAUGUUGCUGAGGGAGGCAAUCAACGGGCACGCUUUGGCCUUCUUGUGAUGCUCCUUCUACUCACGGUCGGUGUACUUCUUGUUCUUCCUAGUGUCGUCCUUGUUCUUAUGCUUGUUGUAGUUCUACCUGCUCUUGGAUUUGUUCUUGUCGGGGCAAUUGGCUGCGAAGUGUCCUGGCGUCCUAGAGUCAAAGCAGGUGUUGUUGUUCCUUCACUGGUUCUUGUGGUUGUCAUUGAAGCACAUGAAUCACCAUCUGAUCAAGGCGAGCUCAUCAUCAUCAAGAACCUCCAACUGCUCCUCGGACACUGAAACCAAAUAAGAUAGGGCAAAUGACAUCGAAGAAGAGCCACUCAAAGACUUAGGCUGUCCAGAGCCUGACAUGAGAACCAUACUAUUUUGAUCAGUAGGGCUCCUCUGUUUAGCUCGGAGCCUCUUGUCAACCUCUGUGGAUUUCAACUUAGCAAAGAGCUCAUCAGUGGAAAGCGUCUCAUAAUUUGGUGACUCAAUGAUAGCAUCAACCUUCAUACCCCACACUUCAUGAUCCAAGGCAUGCAGAAGCUUUAAACCUCUAUCAUGAUCAGUGUAGGGUAAGACGGUGAUAUUUGUUUUCAUCUUGUUCAUAGUAGCCAAGAAAUGCUGAAACAAAGCAUCAGCAGACUUGCCAGGCAAAUGAACAAAGUUCUCAUACUCACGCCUGUAGGUCUCAAAGAGCCUAGCCUUCACCCAACUGUUUCCCUCAUGGAAAUUCUGAAGUUGGGACCAAAUCUCAUGAGCAAGAGUGAGAUCCUCAACUCGAUCAAACUCAGCACGACAAAGGCUCGCAAAUAGAAUAUCAAACGCCUUGUUGUUGGUGUGAUACUUAUCCCUAUCAUCUUGAGAAACACGAGCAGCAGGAAUCACGUAGUUCACAUCCUGAGUGAUUUCCCAAAUCCCUGCUCCCCUACUGUUAAGAUGGGCUUUCCUGCAAGUUUUCCAAUAUCUAUAUAGUCAGUCCCAUCAAAGUGAGGUGUAGCCGUCAAGGAAGAAUGCUCAGAGGUUGCCAUCGUGGGUUUCAAAACCGAUUAGGGUAUUGAGAAACCUUAACCGGCUCUGAUACCAAUUGAAGGACCGGAAAGGCGACCAGAGGGGGGGUGAAUGGGAGCCGAUUCAAAUUUUCUUGAAGAACUUCGGCUAAAAACCCACAAGCCUCUCUUCUAGCAAAAUCAAGUCCACUUAGCUAUGCACAAGCUAAUGGAUCUAGGAAUGAUGCUAGAAACCUAAUUUGAGAAUAGCGGAAGCAAGAAAGAAUCUAAACAAGCUCCGGAAGAUAAACUUUGAAAACCAACAUCUUUGUGCGGAAAAAUCCGAAGGAACCUUCGGAAAAUUCUGAACAUGCGGAAAUUUCCGAAAAAACCUUCGGAAAUUUCUGGAGGUUCGGAGAUUUCCGGAAUUCCAAAACAGCCUGCAUGAAGAUGGAAGAAAAAACCAAAAUUUGAUCAAACGACGUCCAAAAAUCAUGAAAUUCUAACCAUAGAUUCCGUACAACAUAACAAACAUAUUCCCAAAAGAUCUCCUCAAAAAGAUUAUCCAAAUAAAGAGAAUUAAAAAUCUGGUGAAGAACACCGCUUUUUCAACCCUAGAACUUGAAUCGCCCCAAUCUAUGAACUCGUGAGGAGUUAGAUGAAUUUUCCUUUCAUAGAAAGACUUCACUCACAUCCUAGUUCAUUUCCAAAUGAUCGGUUUGAGUCAAGCCUCCCCAGAAAUCACGAAUCGAACAAAAACGUGAGAAGGGAAAAAUGGGAGAAAACAAGAACGCAAAGAACACAAGUGAGAGUUUCAUAAAACCGUCAUCCCCCAACACUCGGAGGACACGAGGAGGUUAGGGCCUCCAUUCCUACAACAAAAACUCAAUUCAAUACAUGAAUUCGAUGCUCAAAACAUCCGAGGACCUCUAGGGAGAGAGUAGAGAGAGAGGAAAAACCAAAUGAAAUCCUAGAGAGAGAGGUAGUGAUAGAGAGGUAGAAGAGGUGCUGAAAACUUCAGCCCCCCAUCUCUAUCUAUAGGUGCGGACAAAAGACUAAAUUACCCCUAUAGCUACUACUAAAUAACGACCCACGCACAGGCAUUUUGGUCCAAGUUUUUGUGCGCUCAUCGGACGAACACACCUCCUUCACGACUUCACUUCGCCUCAAUGCAGGCUAUGCGAUGAUACCACAUGCCCUCCUUCUCGAAGCUCCGGCCGCACCGGGCUCACCCCCUGUGGUGGAACCGCCCAACUUAAGCUGGUUUAAGUGCGCUUAAUCGCUGUCGGAACAGCAAUUAUCCGAAACGCACCUAAAACAGCAUAAGUCCGGUAGUCCGUUGAGUGUCCCUAGGACUCCUCGAAGGAUCCACGACGUGUCUCAUAGCCAUACAUCAGGAUAAUAUCCGCGAUGGGAUAACAUCAACAAAUAUUACAUUUUUAAAGACAUAACAAAGGUACGAUAUAUUACAACCAUAGUUUGAAACAACUUAAUCAUGCAGAUCAGCGUGGUUCUUAAGAAUUUAAAAAUAAACAUUUAAGUUUUAUUCUAGAGUAUCAUGAGACUCAUAAGAUACCCUAGGUCUUCGGGGCUUCCUCUUCGGUGGGUCCCUGCUAGCUUUCUGAAAACAACAACAAGGGAUCCCCUGAGUACGAAGUACUAAGCAAGUCUUACCCGACUAACCAAUAUAAUAGUUUUCUUUGGAAUGUAUGUCAGCCUUUGGGUGUGCUUGGUUGACACAAUUUUUGCCGAAAAGCUUACUACGAGUGAGGCCUUAGUUUUAUCUUUUAUUUUAGUUAAGUCAUUACCUAACCAUUCUAGAUGAUAAUAGAAGUAAAAGCAACCACAGCUGUUAAGUCAUACAUUACUUGACAACAGGAGAUUUUAUAUUGCAUGAGUUGAUACUACGAUGCUCAACAGUGAUCAAGUGCAUUCAUAACCGAGAAUUGCGGCGAUCCGGAUCUAAUUACAUCCUGCAGGAGAGUACCCCGAUCACCAGCAUUAUACGACUGUUCCGGUCGUAUCUCACAACCUCUCGAUUAGCAAAGUCAAUGAUUAGGAAUACAACUACCCGGACCCAGGGAUGCACCCCCACAUGGGACCCCACGUCUGGCCUGAUCUCCAUGUGAGUUUCAGGCUACACCCCUGCCAAUCUCCAGCACGUCAAAUGCGGGUACGAAGCAUUCCUGAUCAUAGAAUUUACUAAUCUACUGGGCUUUACUGGUCCCAUACCCAGUAAGUGAUCAGAUGUUAUCACUUGAUCAGCGGUUAAGACACGAAUCGGGCCUUAACCAGAUUAAUCUAGCAGUAUUCAUAUUCCAGACUAUCCUUCAUAAGCAACAUGUAUGACUUAAGAGUUUUCCUUAAGGUUGGUAAACCAAUCACGUAAGCAAGUAAGCAAUUCUAGACUUGGGUAGUUUCUAGGAUUUGAACAAGUGGCAAAGAUAUCCUUAAAUCAAGGCAUGAUCAUACACAAGAAUAGGUUUCAUCCAACUCCUAGACUUAGUGCAUACAAUAAACAAAUAACCUAUAACUAGUCACAUGAAAUGACGACUCUAAAAAUAGAUAGGUAUAAAUGCACCGGGGCUUGCCUGGGAUCAACAAGGUUAGUUCUUCGGAAAACUUGUUUACUGAAAGAGGCACUCCACACUUCGCGAAUGCUGUCCAUCUCCGGCUGAAUUCCAUGAAUUUCCCACUUCAGGAGUUGUGACGUCUACGAUCCAGUAUAUGCAAGAGUUAGAGAUGCAAAUUUUUGAAUACAAGACUAUACAACUUUCCUUCAUGAUAAAGUUGCAAGCCAACAAGGACUAUACAAUUUAUCAUGAUAAAGUUGCAAGCCAACACACAAAAGCCCUAAAGAUUAGCCCACCAUUUUUAUUUCUUUUACUAAACCUACCUUAGACCUCUUCUUUUAUUUUUUAAAAGCAUUAUACUAAUUUUCUAAUCUCAAAAACCUAAUUCCUAUGAAUUAAUAAUAAUUUGUGGAUAAUAAAGCAUUUUCAAGUUUUAUAUAUUUAAUAAAGUUUAAGCAUUUAUUUAAAUACCUUACACAAAAAGGCAUUAAAUAAAUACCUAAAUUUUUAUUAUUUUUCCUAGGGUUUAAGAAUUUUAAUGCAUAAAGGAAAAUAAAACAAUCCUAAUAAAAUUGGUUUCACUAAUUUUGGACACUUUUAGAAUUUCCUGGGAAUUAAAUGGUGAAAGCAGCAUUUAAUCUAUUUAUCUAACAAAGAAAACCUAAGGUUUAAUUAAAACCUCCGGCCCAAACUUUUCUCACCCAACUUGCUUCUACCCACUAUCACUUCCACCUAGGGCCCAUCUGGUUUCCUAUUCUCCUUCUUCUUUUCUUCCUUGACAAGUGGGGCCCACGGCCGAAACCUUCCCUUGGGCCGAAAAGUGGCCCGCCAACUUUUAACCCGUGACGCGUGGGCCUCUAUUCGGCAGCCUCCUCUUUGGGCCGGCUCCCCCUUUUCCUCUCUUUCUCAAUCCCGGCCGGCCCAUCUCUUCUUUUUCUUUUUCUAUCUCCGACAAUCGGCCUGCUUAAUCCGGCCCACGGCCUUUCUUUCCUCCGCCGGCCCCCUUCUUCUUUUCCACUUCACCUGGGCCGCACGGCCCACUUUCCUUUCAGGCCAAAAGUUAACCCACCGGCUCUCCCUUCUUCCUUUACCCGCACGGGCUAACUGGGCUGUCGCCUCCCCUUGGCCCAAGACGGCGCUGGCCCUCUUUUCUUUUUCUCCUACUCCCACCUGGGCCUCCUCCACCGGGACUUGGCCUCCCGGCCCAAGUUCACCGACGGCCUGCUUCCCUUCUCUUAUUACGUUGCGCAGCUAGCUGGGCCGGUACCCUUCCUUUGGCCCAAGACGGAUGGCCGGCUCUUAUCUCCCUUGCGCCCCCCCCCCUCUUUUCCUUGUGGCUGGCAUGUGGGCCUCCUUGGUCAGGGGCAUCUUCCUCCCCUGGCCAAGAACAGAGGCGCGCCGGACUGGUGGGGGCUCGCCGGCCGGCGGCUCGCCGGCGACGGGGUCGGGCCGGGGAGGGACCCCCAGGCCGCGACACACCCGUGGGCGGCGGCGGCGCUCCGGGAGGUGGCCGGAGAUGGCCCCUCCACGGCGGCGACGGCUCAGCCGGCCGUUGGCCAUGGCGGCGUAUGUUGGCGGCGCAAAACAGCUUCCACAACUCCCCCUACGGCUUCCACACUCUUGCAGGACGCCCCUAGGCCCGUUAAUUGAGAAGAAACAGCCCGGUUUAGCAACUUACCUCGCGGAUUGGGUGACGGCGGCCGGCGGACCGGUAUGGCGGCGACUCGGAGCUCAACAGCGAGAAGCUGGGCAACGGAGCAGCGUGGGGCGUUGAGGAGGAGCUUGCGGAACCUCGGGUGGGUGGAAUCGCAAGGAGAAGCGGCGGCGUGGGUGAAUCGGUCGGCGGCGACACUGAUUUGCUUGAACUCGGUUCUCACGGCAGAAGAGCAAAACGGCAGAGAUUAACUGGAUGAGGGCGAGGAGGUACCAAUACGAACUUUCACCGUGCAUGCGUGCCACCUCGACAACCUGAACGAGCGCGGACGUGGCCGUGUGCUGGCCGGUGCUUCGGAAUGCCGGCGGCGGCACGACUCUUCUGUCGCCUCUGUUAUGCUGUUCUGCUUUCUUUUCUCUUCUCAAUCUACAUGUUCAGGCCGCAAAAUUGGCAAAUCCGAACCCAAUCUCUCGAACAUUCCUUAAGCAAUCUUGUAGAUUAAUCCGAGCACUUCAAUUGAUAGAUGGGCCUCUACCCGAGAUGAGCACCCUAACAUCUAGAUUUUUGGAGCUCCAAGUUCGGCCAGGGCCUUCUGUAACUGAACCCUGUCGAUUCAGUUUCGACAGUCUUCAAAAUGUGGUCAUUUACCCUUCUUUAGCACCAAUUUCAGUAGCUCAAUUGUAUUCCAUAUAGGCCAACCACUCCCUAUUUGUGUUCUAAAACUAAUAAGGAUUCCAUUUUGCACCAGAAACCAUAUAGCCUUUGCACUGGAUUUUCCUGAAAAUUGCUCCAAACAUUGCUAGUUAACACUGUCUCAGACUUAGAAUUUACGCAGCUCGAGAGUUGGCCGAAAUAGCUAGAGUGCUGACUUUGAGUUCUGAUUUAAAUUUGAUUCUUUCGCUAUCUCUGAGCAACAACACUUUAUUAAACAUGUCCAAGGAUCAUACUUCACCGCUGUCUAGUUGCCUUUGCUCACUUACUUGAAAAAUUGGGCAGAAUUCGGUUUCAAACAUAGAUACUCGUCAUGUUUUCCAGACCUAGACUUAAUUCGGCAAGGAGCUCGAAAUCUGCUCAAUUGCUGACUUUUGGCUCCAAUUUGAAUUCAAACCUUCCACUUUCUCUGGACAACAACUAUUCAUUUACUUUCUCCAUAGUCCAUAUUACACUAAUGUCCAAAAACAUCUGCUCACUUUUAAGGAAAUUUCUCCAGAAAUUGGUCCUAAAGUCAGGUACUCAAUACCAUUUUCAGACUUAACCAAAAAUUCAGCAAAGCUGCCGAUUGUGACAAAGCGCCAACUUUAGGCCUCCAUUUGAAAUGGUUCCCUCUGCUAUUCCUGAUCAACACCACCCAAAUUUUGGAGUCCCAAGUUCAUACUUCAACAUGGUAUAGUUGUCCUGAUUUACUUAUUUGAGAAAUUCAUCAGAAUUCAAUUCCCAAAAUGGACUCUGGACUGUUUUUCUGAUUUCUUGUUUUCGGACGGUGAAUAGUAAACGUAGCUUUUCAUUUCCUUCUCCGAUUUCUUUUGAGCGUUUAGGAUCAAAUAUUACUCCAAAUUUUUGACCCUUAAGUUCUAAUCAUCUUUACACUCCCACUCUAUAUUUUCGCCGAAUUUUUCUGAAUUUCAAAUUCAAAAUUCAAAUUUCGGCCAAAUUUGACCCGAAUUUGAUUUUCGGUCAAUUCCUUUUUCUUUUCUUCUCGAAUCGCUUUCAAUUCUUCAAAGUCACUUUGAUGACUAAAAAUGGCGGGUGUUACAGCCUCCCCCCCUUAACAGAAUCUCGUCCCGAGAUUCCCGGGGUUAAAUCCUCGGUUUUGAGAAUGGAAAGGAAACUGUCUCAGACAUCAUAUUUUCUCUUGUCUGUAUAAGGAAAGGGAGGUGGUGGCUUUGGUUCAUCUGACACUAACAGUUUCAAAUAACUUAAAAUAUUUAGACUCUAGGUCUUCAGUCUGUUCCAAGUAGCUUUAUCUGGAGCACGAUUCUCUCAGGGCACCUUGUAAAAUCUGAUACUCUUAGUUCGAGUAUGGAGGGUCUUUCGAUCCAGAAUUUUUAUACGGACAAAUAUAUAUCGGAGAAAAUUUUUCCUUUGACUCCAACCCGGUGUAUUCCUUUCAUCGGAGAUACUCCGAAAUGUACAAAGUCCCAAAAUAAAAUUCCAAAGAUCCUCUUUUUGUAUCCGAAUAACCUCUCUGUCAGGACUAAGCUAUUUCAAGGUUCGUACAAUUCUUCUGAACUUUUUCCUCAACUUUAAUUGACUAGAUCUGGUUCUAAAGGUACUCUUUCUCUUGAUUCUGACCAAAUUAAAAGCAACCAUUCUUCCCAUUUUUUGCUAGAAGUAAACAUUCAUCCCACUUCUUCGAGAAGGUGAGAAUACAGGUUCGAAGCAUAUCUUUUUCUGUCUAACCAGACAUCCUUUGUUCUUAAUAAGGGUAGUUCCCAUUGUCCCAUACAUUUGUUCCCAGAAUUCAGAGAUGAAAUUGAGAACCUCAAUUUAAGACAAUUGUCUUGGGUAUUCCAUGCGACGAUACUACCAUAAAAUCCAUGGAAAUGUCUUCCUACUUCCAUUUAGGAAUGGUGAAGGUUGCAAUAUGUCGACCGAUUUCUGAUAUAUAGUUUUCACUUUUGACACGUAUCACAUUCAGAUACAUUCUUGGCUAUUUCCCUUUUCAUUCUUAUCCACCAAAAUCAUUGCUUCAUGUAUUAAUACAUCUUAAUACUCCCCGGGUGCAUAAAGAAUCUUGAUAACAAGCUUCAUCUAAGAUGAUUUUCUCAAGCCCAUCUUCUUGAGUAUUAUUAUUCAAUUUUUGAUAUAGAACACCUUCUUUUCAUCCUGGUAAAACAAGUAACAUUACUUUUAGCUUACUCAUUUCCGAAGUAUUCUCAUUCCUUUGUCCUUCUUCUGAGCUUGUUCUGCUUCUUUCUUUAAAAUAUCUUACAAGAUGAGGUUAUGCAGUGUACAUUAGUUUUGUUCGGAUGAUACAAUUUCUAGUUUAUAGUCUUGGAUUAGUUUCAGCCAUCUUAUGCCUCAUAUUCAGAUCUGACUUUGAUAGCGUUCGGCCAUUUUUAAGAAAACUUCUUACUUCCUGAACAGUUGUGGGCGAUUCAUGUCCUUAACUUUUUCAGGAUCCACUUCAAUUCCUUUCUUGGACCAAACAUGCCUAAUGAACGGAACCUUCUUUAACCAAAACUCACACUUACUAGACUUGGCAUAUAGUUGAUGCUCCGGAAUCUAUCCAAAACAAUGCGCAAAUGCUCCGCAUAUUCUCCUUAUUCUUAUUGUCAAAACCUUUGUUUCAAAGCUUGAUACAUCUUACUGUUCUCAGGAUUCCGUGCAAAUUCAACCUUUUAGAAACUUGUUAAUAUCCAUAUAAUGCUCACGUCCCUUCCUUCUAGUUAAGGAACUUUUUUUUGAAUAGACUUUUGACCCGAUCCUUGGCGUGAAAUUUGAGCCUUCUCAUCCAUAAUUUCCCCUUUACUGUGGAAAAUGAAGAACUCGGGUGAAACCAGUUCCUCCAUAGUUAUGUUAUAAUAUAGCUGUAGAAUUGCAAAGAUAGUGGUGCUUUAACCUUUCAGGUAUUCAUGGGUUUGUCGAACAGGGAGUAUUAUCUGAGUUCUGGAUAACCCAUGGCUGCCACGAUAAUUGUCAUUGGGGCCGAUAAGUAGAUCUAGCAGGUUCCUAGUAGACAACCUUUCAACUCCUGAGGAAUACUUUUAAAUGCUUCAAAAGAAAUGUCCUCUUAUUCCAAGGAUUCCUCCCUUCCAAGGGGUUUGUCUAAAGCUCUUAUCUUUCCUGGGGAUUACUAUGUUCAUGGCAGAGCUAUGAUCUGUAAAAGUACUUGGGAGCAAUUCCUUUUCUCAGACUUAGGGUUCAUAUGUUCGGAAGCAUAUUGUGCCAGAUGAUCAAUUGUACUUAGAUACUUCCGAACAAUCUUGUGUCCCUGCUAAACUUUUUUUUUUUAAAGUUGUUCUAGCUGCACUCUUAUAAUCCUUUUUAGCAGAAACUAGGUACAAAUAAUUGUCUUGAAAUCUUCCCAAGCUAUCUCCUUUCUGACGGAUCGCCUAACCAGAUAGUUGGUCCAUCAUGUGCCUGUGGGACCUUGGAGUUAAUGUCCUGCAAACUCAACCUUUUGAGUUUCCGUACAUCGAAGAAUCACACACGUAUCCACAUAUAAUGUUUGGAUUUACGUGUAAUUCUACAAAAAUUUGUCUUAUGUUCAUAUAGUGAUCAGGGCUGACAUGUGCAGGAAAAUGCCACUCUUAGUAGCUUUAACAAGCAUGAGUAGACUGCGUUAUCUUCCUCCAAACCUGCUCCAGAAAACUCCUGGCAUUCUUUUUAGAGUUGAACAUCAAGGAUAUGAAGUAUCUGGUUUGGAAGAUUCUUCUCGAUAAUAGUUAAUAAUGCUUAUUCCAUCGCAGAACACAAGAUCUGCUAGCUUUCUCCCUGUUAGUGUCUCUGCCAGCAAUACUCUAAAAUUGUACACAUCUCCUCAGAGCUUUUACAUUCUGACAUAAAACUCCCAUCGGUGCCUUAUAUGUUUGUGUCAAAAAUCUUCACAGCCAACAACCCGGUCUUACCUGGAUUAGUUUUCCUCCGUAAACUGAACCAUAGCUUCCUUUCCUAAUCAAAGACUCUGGGAAAUUCUCAGUAACCUGAACUCAAUCCUUGUAGAAAAAUUUUCAGAAGUUCUUACUAGAAAAAAAAAACCAACUGUGAUUACAUUAUGAAGGACUUUCUCCAUGGAAGUAUAAGGCAUCACGAUAAUAUGAAUAGUGCCACGAGACCAACAAUGGGGAUAUAUUUUAACCCAAAACUUUUAAUCUUGCUGUCUGCAAAGGAACAACAUCGCACGCGGGUAUAUGCAGCUCACAUACUCCGUCGCAAAGACCUUGAUUCCCUUUAGUGUAAUAACUGUAACCUUUUUGAAAUACUCGGCACUCUUCCCAGGAGAUGAUUGCGGGACGAAUUUAGCGGACUGAGAGCUUGUAGAUCACAUAGAGCAGCUGGGAUAGUAUCUAUCCAAUUGUUGUGUGAAAGGUUAAGAAUAGUGUCUUCCCAAAAGUUGGUGGUUUUGAUACUGCUUCAAUUCCCAAUAACCACGUUAAUUCCCUAUAUUUUGAAUAUCCCUGCUCAGCAGUCUAGCUUGCUUAGCUCUUGAAUUCAUAAGACUAGCAAUAACAUUAACCCGGGUAAGAAUUUAUGGUGGCUCUACAUCACGGAUUCUGACCCGGAUUAAAUGUAUCCACUUGGGUCCGACAUUCUGGGGUUACAAAAAUCCAACAGACCGAAACUCAUUGAACUUCCUCUGGUUCUUUAAUAUCAUUAUUCCCUGCAUCUCGCAAACCUUGGUAUAUGUUUCUCUUAAACAACCCCCUCAACAUUGUCCUUAGCUAACAGUUGAUUAGGUUCCAUAUGACUUUUUCUAAAUUCUCUUCCAUUUUCCACACCAAGACUAUCCAGAUUCUCACAAACAUGCAGAUCUACUUUUUAAGAUGCCAGUUCAUUUAUACCCAUUUCGUUAUCCACAAUAUCCUCCUUUCCUUUUACUACAACCGGGACGAACAGAUGUUGCCUUGGUUUCCAUGGUUUUUUUGAUAUAUCUCUGAGGCAUCCGGAUCAAUAGAUUCCUGGGCUUGUGUCAAUUGACCUCAUAUUUAUCCAAUUUCUUUCACCACUUUUCUCAUAUCUUUUCCCAUAUUACGAUCUCGUGCAAGAGCUGCCUUCUUGCUUAUAUCGAAAUCAUAUGGAGUAUCUUUUCCCCUCCUCCUUGAAUCUUCAUUCCUUUCUUCCUAAUAAUAUUACUGGAACGGGCAUGUUGAUGAAGAGUAGGUAUCGAAGUCUUUUAAUUUCAUGAAGUGAUCGCAGUAACGUCGUGCUCCAUUUGAGAAAAUCCUUUAAACCUUUAUACAAUGCUUCCAAUACUAUGGUCCUGAUUUCUGAUCCCAUAACUCUUGUCAGACUGGAUCCAAUUUAUUCCUUAUUCUUCUCACACCUGAUAGUUUAAGUUGUCCUAAUUGCUUAUCCAAAUAAGGUUUGGUGUCCAUCCGUCUGUCUUGAUCUUCUCUUCUGCAGUUCUCUGUUGCAUCGACCCCCUUACUACGUUUAGCUCCUAUUACACGGGACGGGUUUAGGUCUAACGGCACUCUCCAAACCCAAAAGUUUUGAAACAUGCAAUGCACACAUGAUGCAACGAUUCCUACGUACUUUCAGACUCAUAUACACACUCGUAGAAAAAUUGGUGGCAUCGUAAUCUCUCCCUAAAUAAUAGACUACCGAAUACUAGCGACACACAGCAAACAGUUAGCAUCUGCAAAAUAAACAACCAGUUAACACUACUGCCACCUGUGACUCACAUUUUCUUAAUUUAAAAUAGAGUCUCAAUUUUUAAAUAGUAAUAUCUGUUGAUUAUCCCAACCUACGGCUCUGAUACCAGCUGUGGCGGAACCGCCCAACUUAAGCUGGUUUAAGUGCACUUAAUCGCUGUCGGAACAGCAAUUAUCCGAAACGCACCUAAAACAGCAUAAGUCCGGUAGUCCGUCGAGUGUCCCUAGGACUCCUCGAAGGAUCCACGACGUGUCUCAUAGCCAUACAUCAGGAUAAUAUCCGCGAUGGGAUAACAUCAACAAAUAUUACAUUUUUAAAGACAUAACAAAGGUACGAUAUAUUACAACCAUAGUUUGAAACAACUUAAUCAUGCAGGUCAGCGUGGUUCUUAAGAAUUUAAAAAUAAACAUUUAAGUUUUAUUCUAGAGUAUCAUGAGACUCAUAAGAUACCCUAGGUCGUCGGGGCUUCCUCUUCGGUGGGUCCCUGCUGGCUUUCUGAAAACAACAACAAGGGAUCCCCUGAGUACGAAGUACUCAGCAAGUCUUACCCGACUAACCAAUAUAAUAGUUUUCUUUGGAAUGUAUGUCAGCCUUUGGGUGUGCUUGGUUGACACAAUUUUUGCCGAAAAGCUUACUACGAGUGAGGCCUUAGUUUUAUCUUUUAUUUUAGUUAAGUCAUUACCUAACCAUUCUAGAUGAUAACAGAAGUAAAAGCAACCACAGCUGUUAAGUCAUACAUUACUUGACAACAGGAGAUUUUAUAUUGCAUGAGUUGAUACUACGAUGCUCAACAGUGAUCAAGUGCAUUCAUAACCGAGAAUUGCGGCGAUCCGGAUCUAAUUACAUCCUGCAGGAGAGUACCCCGAUCACCAGCAUUAUACGACUGUUCCGGUCGUAUCUCACAACCUCUCGAUUAGCAAAGUCAAUGAUUAGGAAUACAACUACCCGGACCCAAGGAUGCACCCCCACAUGGGACCCCACGUCUGGCCUGAUCUCCAUGUGAGUUUCAGGCUACACCCCUGCCAAUCUCCAGCACGUCAAAUGCGGGUACGAAGCAUUCCUGAUCAUAGAAUUUACUAAUCUACUGGGCUUUACUGGUCCCAUACCCAGUAAGUGAUCAGAUGUUAUCACUUGAUCAGCGGUUAAGACACGAAUCGGGCCUUAACCAGAUUAAUCUAGCAGAUAGAACUACAUCUCUAGCUUCUGUCCGUAUUCAUAUUCCAGACUAUCCUUCAUAAGCAACAUGUAUGACUUAAGAGUUUUCCUUAAGGUUGGUAAACCAAUCACGUAAGCAAGUAAGCAAUUCUAGACUUGGGUAGUUUCUAGGAUUUGAACAAGUGGCAAAGAUGUCCUUAAAUCAAGGCAUGAUCAUACACAAGAAUAGGUUUCAUCCAACUCCUAGACUUAGUGCAUACAAUAAACAAAUAACCUAUAACUAGUCACAUGAAAUGACGACUCUAAAAAUAGAUAGGUAUAAAUGCACCGGGGCUUGCCUGGGAUCAACAAGGUUAGUUCUUCGGAAAACUUGUUUACUGAAAGAGGCACUCCACACUUCGCGAAUGCUGUCCAUCUCCGGCUGAAUUCCAUGAAUUUCCCACUUCAGGAGUUGUGACGUCUACGAUCCAGUAUAUGCAAGAGUUAGAGAUGCAAAUUUUUGAAUACAAGACUAUACAACUUUCCUUCAUGAUAAAGUUGCAAGCCAACAAGGACUAUACAAUUUAUCAUGAUAAAGUUGCAAGCCAACACACAAAAGCCCUAAAGAUUAGCCCACCAUUUUUAUUUCUUUUACUAAACCUACCUUAGACCUCUUCUUUUAAUUUUUAAAAGCAUUAUACUAAUUUUCUAAUCUCAAAAACCUAAUUCCUAUGAAUUAAUAAUAAUUUGUGGAUAAUAAAGCAUUUUCAAGUUUUAUAUAUUUAAUAAAGUUUAAGCAUUUAUUUAAAUACCUUACACAAAAAGGCAUUAAAUAAAUACCUAAAUUUUUAUUAUUUUUCCUAGGGUUUAAGAAUUUUAAUGCAUAAAGGAAAAUAAAACAAUCCUAAUAAAAUUGGUUUCACUAAUUUUGGACACUUUUAGAAUUUCCUGGGAAUUAAAUGGUGAAAGCAGCAUUUAAUCUAUUAAUCUAACAAAGAAAACCUAAGGUUUAAUUAAAACCUCCGGCCCAAACUUUUCUCACCCAACUUGCUUCUACCCACUAUCACUUCCACCUAGGGCCCAUCUGGUUUCCUAUUCUCCUUCUUCUUUUCUUCCUUGACAAGUGGGGCCCACGGCCGAAACCUUCCCUUGGGCCGAAAAGUGGCCCGCCAACUUUUAACCCGUGACGCGUGGGCCUCUAUUCGGCAGCCUCCUCUUUGGGCCGGCUCCCCCUUCUCCUCUCUUUCUCAGUCCCGGCCGGCCCAUCUCUUCUUUUUCUUUUUCUAUCUCCGACAAUCGGCCUGCUUAAUCCGGCCCACGGCCUUUCUUUCCUCCGCCGGCCCCCUUCUUCUUUUCCACUUCACCUGGGCUGCACGGCCCACUUUCCUUUCAGGCCAAAAGUUAACCCACCGGCUCUCCCUUCUUCCUUUACCCGCACGGGCUAACUGGGCUGUCGCCUCCCCUUGGCCCAAGACGGCGUUGGCCCUCUUUUCUUUUUCUCCUACUCCCACCUGGGCCUCCUCCACCGGGACUUGGCCUCCCGGCCCAAGUUCACCGACGGCCUGCUUCCCUUCUCUUAUUACGUUGCGCAGCUAGCUGGGCCGGUACCCUUCCUUUGGCCCAAGACGGAUGGCCGGCUCUUAUCUCCCUUGCGCCCCCCCCCUCUUUUCCUUGUGGCUGGCAUGUGGGCCUCCUUUGUCAGGGGCAUCUUCCUCCCCUGGCCAAGAACAGAGGCGCGCCGGACCGGUGGGGGCUCGCCGGCCGGCGGCUCGCCGGCGACGGGGUCGGGCCGGGAAGGGACCCCCAGGCCGCGACACACCCGUGGGCGGCGGCGGCGCUCCGGGAGGUGGCCGGAGAUGGCCCCUCCACGGCGGCGGCGGCUCGGCCGGCCGUUGGCCAUGGCGGCGUAUGUUGGCGGCGCAAACGGCUUCCACAACUCACCCUACGGCUUCCACACUCUUGCAGGACGCCCCUAGGCCCGUUAAUUGAGAAGAAACAGCCGGUUUAGCAGCUUACCUCGCGGAUUGGGUGACGGCGGCCAGCGGACCGGUAUGGCGGCGACUCGGAGCUCAACAGUGAGAAGCUGGGCAACGGAGCAGCGUGGGGCGUUGAGGAGGAGCUUGCGGAACCUCGGGUGGGUGGAAUCGCAAGGAGAAGCGGCGGCGUGGGUGAAUCGGUCGGCGGCGACACUGAUUUGCUUGAACUCGGUUCUCACGGCAGAAGAGCAAAACGGCAGAGGAUUAACUGGAUGAGGGCGAGGAGGUAGCAAUACGAACUUUCACCGUGCAUGCGUGCCACCUCGACAACCUGAACGAGCGCGGACGUGGCCGUGUGCUGGC